UUUUUUUUUUUUUUUUUGGUCGGCUCGCAAGGUGUGGGCACGCCUUGUAGCCCAUAGUCCUCUGGUCACGAGGUCUCUUCAUGAAAAAAUUUUUUUUUUUUCAAGAGACAGUCCUGUAAGGCGUGGGCACGCCCUGUAAGCCAAAGUCCUCUGGUCAGUGGCCUUUUCCAAUUUCUCCCCCCUUUACACAAGGAUAGCAUCAUACAGCUCCUAAUCUAUCAGCACUUUCAACCCCAAAUUCGUUUGCUUUGCGCAAAUGAUGGAUUUCAGACAUCCCUUGACAACACAGGGAUAAACGAGAAAGUUUAAGGGGGUCUUGGGUUAACAAACACGGAUAUCAACCAGAAACGAAAGACAGAAGCUCAAGUUGGUUCACUAUUGGGAUAUAAAAUGAGGGCUUGAUUUUUUUUUUUUUAGAUAGCUGAAGAGGGUUAAAUCCUAAAUGCCCUUAUCAUUUCAAAUACACCCAGUUCAUCAAAAUGCGGUCUUGACAUGUACAAAAUAGCAAGUUUUAGAAUGUUCAUACCAUGUGCGAUACCCACUCAAUCAAACAAAGUAGAGCAAACAAGAAUAAUAUGCUCAAGUAAGGCUCAAAAGCUCCCCAAAAGUUACAAAAAUGGGUGAAUUCCAUCAUACUCAACAUUCAAUAACAUUGCCAAGGGAAACAAAAUGCACGGCUAGCAUAUACGAUCACAUACCCACUCACUUUGAUUAUGUCAUUCAUCACAGCAACAUGCCCCAACACUAACAAGCAUAGAAAUAGCCAAAAAGACGACUAACUACAAUGUUUUUCCAUUUUUUUCCAUUUUUUUUUUAAGGUAACAAAGCAAAAAGAACUAAUGAAAAAGAAAGUAAUGGAAGCCACUCCCCCCACACCUAAAUCUUACAUUGUCCUCAAUGUAACCUAGAAAAAUAAAUUGCAAGGGCAGAGGGAGCGAAAACUUCCCUGACUAUUGAAAAGGUGCGACCGGAGCUUAAGGAGGCGGCGGAUGCGGCGGCUGGAAGCCAAUAUGAGCAUAGUAAGCUGCCUGAUUCUCUGCCUGAAUGCGGGCGAAAACCUGGAGCGCCAUAAGCCGGCCAUCUAUCCUUGCCAGUUGGGUGUUGAGUUCAUGGAGCCCCACUUGGAGGUCCGGGUAGCGGGGGUCUCCAGCAGGGGGAGGAUGAGAGGAGGACGGACCCGCCUUGUCCGGAUGGGGUGACGAGUCAGUGGAGGGUGCAGCGGCAGGCACCCGAGGCCGCGGCCCGCCCUCACCAGGAGGCGUAAACUGAUAAACAUCGCCCACCUUGAAAAUAACCCCCAUUCGCUCCAAACUACGCAAAUCCAGGGGUUCAUUUUCUCGAGCUAGAGUGUAGUUGUGCUCCUUGUCCAGAUCAAGCACUCCCACUCGAAUGGCCAAGUGAGUAAUGAGUGAUCCCAGUAUCACCGGCUUGUUACGCUUUUGCAUGACCGUUUCCAUCUGGGUGGCCACCCAACAUCUAAAGUUAACCUGAACCUUGUUGCGCAUGCACCAAAGAAAAUAGAAUUCCACUUUGGUAAGCGUGCCGGAGGUAUCCUUUCGCCCCGAGAAAUUGUGAGUUAAGAACCUGUGGACAACCUUCAAGACCGGAUCCUUCAGAUGGGAUGCCUUCGACUGACUCGGAUUGUAAACUUGACGAUCCGUGGACCACUCCCUCCAAAUGUCAAUGUAGUCAGUAGAGAACGGUCGGGUGUAGUCACACGCACUGUUUAUAUAUGCCCCAGAGGCAAUGGUGUCCUCACUAGCAAACCCCAAAGUUAGGUUAAACUCAUUAAUGGACAUACCAAACUGAGUACCUCCCAAUCUGAAAUUAAUGACCUCCGGCUCAUCCAAAGUGAUGAAUUCAUUUCUGUUGAACUCGAAUGUGGAGAAGAAUUCACAACACAGCUCCUCAAACGUAGGAUAGUUAAUGAUUAGAUAUUGUUGCCAACCUAUGGCUGAGAAUAACUGUUCAACUUCCCUUGCAAUUCACAAAUGGUCCAAGGUCGGGGCAUGAAAGCACUUACAAGGAGUAAAAGGGCGGUUUGCCAAGUUAUUAAACCGCUCCACUUGUGCCUGUGUGAGAUUAGUGACCGUUUCCCCCCCUCCUCCAGGAGAUAUAGUGCUCUUAUUCAGACCUAGACGAGACCGAAUGAUGGGUUGAACCGGGGCUCGCCUCUUGCGAGGUUGGGACCCAGACGGCCCAGCAGUUGUCGCCUUCUUUGGAGGCAUUUAGGGGCCACAGACAGAGUAAAUUAGCUCAGCGACAGCCAACCAACCACCAAGAAACAGAUAGGGGACCACAGUCCAUCGAAAUUACUAAGUAUUCAGCAGCUCACAGCAAAAGGGGACACAAUUACCCCACCAAACAACAACCAGACAACAAACACCAACCAAUGCCCCACUGCUGUCAAGUAGCCGACAACAAUAAAGAAAACCGAACCCACUUCACACAAAUCAAGAAAUCAGUCGCUAAAAGGCAACAAUCAGUGAGCUACCGACCACGUGUACCAACGAAUAAAUUCACUAGAGCCCACAGAUUUCUCAAGUAUAUAAUCACAGGGAAACAGAUAUAAAGUCUCUCCCUUCAGAUAAUCAAAUAGCCCAACACAAAGCGAAAUCCCAACAAUAAAAACUCCAAGACAUCAGUUGCCAGUUCAAAAAGAGAGAAACAGGAGUACCACUCUUAUGCUCAGUGCUCCUUCAAACCGGAGUUGGCCGAGCCAGUGCCGUACGGCGAGAGGACUGCGGACGUAUGUCUCGCGCGGCUGUGCGGGCGGUGAAGGUGGUCUGCGCGCUGGGUGCUGGGGAGGCGAGUCACGCAGAUCUGGAAGGUCGCACACUGCUGCCGUGGAUCUGCUGGGCCGCGUGGGCGGCGGCGCGCCUGGGAGAAGCUCGCUCGCGAUGUGGCCGCGCGCUGGAGUCGCGCGCUGCUGGGCUGAGGUGCGCGGGGGUGAAGGGAGCAGGGGCACGCGAAGGCUGCGCGAGGUGCUCGCUCGCGUUGGUGGCCGCGCGCUGGAGUUGCUUGGCCGUGGGUGACCCACAGAUCUGGUGGGUCGCGCGAGCGGCGGCGGCGGACUGUAAUGGAAGGCGGCGGCGGAUUGCUGGAGAGGCGCCGUGGAGCGCGCGAUGGGCAGGGCAGCGCGCAGGACGGUGGACGGCGGACUGCGGCGGGCAGCGAUGAAAGGCGGCGGCGGGCUUGACCAAAACAGAGGGGAGAAAUCGUUGCAGCGUAGCUGAAAGAAAUUAGGAGAAAAGAGGCCAAGACCAGUCAAAGAAGAAGGAAAAGUGAAAAAAGAACAGAGUCCUGGUCAAAAAAUUUUUUUUUUUUUCGCUAUCGGAGGGGUUGAAAGGCGUGGGCACGCCUUGGAGGGCAGUUGCUUCUGCCCACAACAUGUAAAUGAUGUCCAAACGAACUUUUUUUUUUUUUUUUUGCAAGUCGUGGGCACGCCUUGGAACCCCUACUCUUCUGUCCAACACCACAAAAACCAUCAAAACAUUAAAAUAAAACUGAAAAAUCAUAAAGUAAGGAAAAAUGAUCACAACUAAUAUUGUAAUUCUUGGGUUGCCUCCCAAGCAGCGCCUUUCUUUAAUGUCUUUGGCUAGACAUAGCACCACUCUUUAGUCUGGAUGUAAUUGAAUUUUCCUUGUAAUUGGUGGCCCUCCUCCAGGAUCCACAUGGCCAUUGAGUGCAACUUUUUUCCUAAAUUUUCUCUCCAUUUUUACCUCAUGAAUUGCUUUCAUCAUAUAGGACUUGUUCGCAGCAACUUUGAAUUUACCCCUAUAAGCAAACUUAGAAAAUUCUUGCACAGAGGGAUUAGUGGUAUACAUAGCAAACACAGAAUGAGAGUUAACAGGAUGUUUCAUUGUAUCAAAAAUAUUAAAGUGGACUGUUUCUCCAUCAAAUUUCAUCGUGAGAGUACCCUUACUAACAUCAAUUUUAGUCUGGGCAGUACUCAAAAAUGGUCUUCCUAGUAUAAUGGGUGAUGGAUUUGGGGCACUUCUAUCAUCCAUGUAAAGCACAUAAAAAUCAGCAGAAAAAAUUAAUCCAUCUACUUGCACUAAAACAUCCUCAACUAUCCCAUCCGGAUAAGCACAUGUACGAUCAGCCAAUUGAAUUAUUAUCCCCGUUUCUUUUAAAGGUCCUAAAUUUAGGGAAUCAUAGAUUGACUUAGGCAUCACAUUAAUAGAAGCUCAUAAAUCUAUCAUGACAUUUUGAUACUAGAAUGACCAAUCUUACAGGGGAUAGCAAACAUACCUGGAUCUCCGCAUUUGGGUGGGAGUUUCCUUUGUAGUACAGCUGAUACAUUCUCUCCUACCAUCACUCUUUCAUCACCCCUUAGCUUUCUUUUGUUAACGCACAAGUCUUUCAAGAACUUUGCGUACUUGGGUACCUGUUUGAUCGCGUCCAAUAGGGGGAUGUGUACUUGAAUCUUGCGGAACACAUCCAGGAUUUCUUUUUCCUUUUCUGCCCUCUUUGUCUUUUCUAACCUGCAAGGAAAAGGAGCUAUAUUAGAUUUAAUAGUGGGCGGAGGAGUGAAGGUUACCUUAGGAUCCUUGCGAAUACGCCUUUCCUCUUCAAUUUCCUUCUCUAUCUCCUCUUCACUUUUGCUUUUUAAACUUUCCACUUUAGACCCUUCCAGUUCCUUGCCACUCCUCAGCGUCAUGGCACUUACAUUCCUGGGAUUUACCUCGGGUUGCGAUGGCAGUUUCCCAUAAACGUGGGACUCCAAGCGGUUGAUGGCAGUUGCCAGUUGGCUUAUUCGAACGUCUUGGUCCUUCUUGUCAGCUUUGGUGUCCUGCUGGAGCUGCGCGGUAUUCACGGCUAAGAAUCUAAUCUCCUGUUGAAGCUGGGUAGUAGUCGUGGCCAGGUUGGUAGUAGUCGUGGCCAGGUUUUUGACUAGGUCCUCUAGAGAACUUCCUGAGUUGGAGGACGAGGGUUGCGAUUUUGGUUGCCAUGGCUGGUGGAAUCUUGGUGGACGAUUUGGAAAUGCAUUUUGUUGCCUGUUCCCAUAACUGAGAUUGGGAUGGUCCCUCCAACCCGGAUUGUACGUAUUGGAGUAUGGGUCGUACUGCCUGCGGGGCGCGGGCACGCCUCCGGCCAUGUUUACCUGUUCCGCCCCGUCCUCUUGCAAAAUGGGGCACGAGUCUGUGCAAUGGUCCAUGCCAGUGCAUAUUCCACACACCUUCGCUCGCGACGCGUCUCUCAUGGCUAAUUGCCUAACAACUGACGUCAAUUCUGACAGUUGCUUCUGUAAGGAUGAAGUCUCUACCUCGUUGACUCUACGGGGAGGGUUGCUCUCACGGAAGCCAAAUUGCUGGGAGUUCUCUGCCAUGGCUUCGAUGAGCUCCCACGCUUCCCUUGGUGUCUUGUUUGCCAGUGCUCCCCCACUUGCAGCGUCGAUGAUACUCCUAUCGGUUGAUUGGAGCCCUUCGUAGAAGUAUUGGAUUAACAGUUGCUCACUAAUUUGAUGCUGCGGGCAUCUAGUGCAUAACUUGUUAAACCUUUCCCAGUAUUCGUACAAGGACUCACCGGGGUAUUGUUUAAUGCCGCAGAUCUCCUUCCUCAAACUCGCAGCCCGGGAUGCAGGGAAGAAUUUUUCCAAGAAUUUCUUUUUCAGCUGCGCCCAUGUGGUAAUACUACCUGCUGGUAGGUAGUACAGCCAAUCUUUAGCUGCAUCUUUGAGAGAGAACGGGAAGGCUCUCAGUCUAAUUUGCUCUUCAGUGACCCCAGGAGGUUUCAUACUAGAGCAGACCACCUCGAACUCCUUUACGUGCUUGUGGGGUUCUUCGCCAGAGAGACCAUGGAAAGAGGGUAAGAGUUGAAUCAACCCCGAAUUCAGUUCGAAAGCGGUAUUCUCAGCCAAAGCGGGGAAUGUGAUGCAUAAGGGCUGGUGAGUCAGCUCCGGGGCAGCCAGCUCCCUCAAUGUUUGGUUGUUGGCCAUGCUUACUUCGUCUUCCGCUGACUCGUUUGCAGCAAAUAAGUGUCCUUCUUUUUGCCUCUUGGUCUCUUGCCUCCACCUACGCGCUGCCUUCUCAACCUCAGGAUCGUAUACUAAUUCAUCUGUGCGAGAAGAACGGGGCAUAAACCAGCAAAAGUACCAAGAAGAAUAGAAUAGAAUAAAAAUAAAAAUAAAAACUGAAUUUGAAAAGAAACAAAUAAUUCAAACGCUAGCUCCCCGGAAACGGCGCCAAAAAUUGACAGGUGCCGAAUCUGUGCAAUAAUAAUUACUAAAAAGUCCUAAUUACCACCUCAAUUAAAUAAUUAUAGAACAAAUCCAAGUACUGGAGCAGGGACCCUAGGUGUGCAAUGGGUUACUUGAUUCACCCUGUUCUCGAAGAGUUUGCUUGAUCCGAUAUACCGGGUUUGUCUAUAAAAAUACUAAUUUUGCGUACAAUGGCAAGUAGGGUCGAAUCCACAGGGAGCAGGUAGGAAAUUAUCUCUUUCCAAAUCAGAAGAACAAAAUUGGGGGAUUUUCAAUGGAAGGCAAACAAAAAUAAAAUAAAAUAAAACAAACACAAUUCAAAACUAACUCACAAAGCACAAUUCACUGAAAAUAGCAAUUAAUAAAAGUUCUACCCAAAGGAUCAACUGCUCAGGCACGGUCCAAUUAAAUGAUCAUCGAUGCAAAAAUAUUUCAUCCAUUUAUCACUAGAUUGGUUAUAGCCAUCAAUAAGUUCUGACAACCAACUCUUCCUUACUUUUUCGACAGUCAAGGUACGACCAUUGACUGCUUCUCUAACCAGAUAACAACCCUAGGUACGACCGUAGGAAUUUAAUUACCCAAUUGCAUUAAAGCUAGAAGAACCCAACCCUAACCAAUAAACACGCUAAGAGGGUUUAUUUAAAUUAGAUCUUGAAUUUUCCCAUCAUAAAGCCAAUUAUGGUGGUUGCCACGGGGUGUCAACUAAAUGAACAAUUACGGAUUCUAUUUAAUUAACGUGGCAGUAGGCUAUUAAAUUAAAUCAAAUACCCGGCCGUUGAUAUUCAAUUAAUCAAAUACCCAUGAACAGUUAAUUCAGGAAAUGCACGAAUAGUAAUAAAUUGGAAGAAAUAAUGAAAGAUUGAUUAGAUCUCACAGGUGUGAUGGACCGCGCCCUCGCGUCACCCUUUGGGCAGAGGAGAAAAUUAGCCGCUCCUCAUCAUGUCAAGCUCACGCGAUUUAAUUGAUUUCAUCUACGCAAACAUCCAAACAAUUAAUUUCAAGGAGCGGAGAGAUGUGAAGUAACUAAGGAACAAAUGGGAAAUUCCCUUGGUUCAUUUUCUUAUAUUCGGUCGCUCCUGAAGCAGAGUCAAGAAAAGGGAUAACAGCGAUGGAAAAUUGUAGCAAAUCAAAAGCGAACGUCAAAGGCGUCUACCGCAAAAGAUUGAAAAGGUGAACUCCUAAGCUAGUCUAAGUUGCGGCUGAAGAAAGCCAAAAACCCCCAGUCAAAAGCGUCUGACUGCUGACAAACCUUGGAAAAGAAAACUAAGCCUAAAAAGUAGAUGCCCCUUGAAUCUUCCUUGUUUCCCUUUUUAUAUCCGCCGCCCAAGAAAGUCAAGCAGAAGCCCACGGACGUCUGGCCCUUUCUUUGCUUUUCAAUUGAAGCCUUUGGAGUUUUAAUCCUGUGCUCCUCGCGGUUCACGUGGACCAGGGUCCGGCUUUCGGUUUCGUCCGCCUUCUAAGGCGUGGCCACUCCUUGGAACGGGAAGUCUUCUGGAAAUUCACCCCGCGAGAUCAUUUCUCAUGCCUACCACCUAAAAUUCACACAAAUAUCGAAUAUGAAUGAAACUCCAAUUCUUAGUACCGUGAAUAGCCAAAAUUAGGACAAGAUAAUAGUGCAAAAUACGCCAAAUAACCGUUCUAUCACUAAGUUUAUUUUAGAUCUAAUUAUCUGAUUUGAAAGUUUUUGGAUCUUGAAUCUAUUUCAACAGAUCCCAUCAUUAAUAUUGGAGUUUAAAAUUACAAUAUGCACUAAAGGGAACUACAAUGAUUUAUCUAUAGGAAGACAAUUAUGAAAUUUCUUGUAUUUUUCAGAUGUUGAUGAAUUUUCAAAUUUAUUGUAUCUAUUAAAUUACAGAUAUAUAAUUUCCAGUACAUGUUUAACCUGCCAUUAAAACAGUGAUAUAAAUAAAAUCAUACUGGACGAUUUUCAGUGAUCUAUUCAUGAAAUUUGCUUUUAUCAAAAGAAAAUCACAUAAAUAAUUGACAGGUGUCGAGCCUGUACAAUAAUAAUUACCUAGUCAAGAAAAAUACAAAUUUUGUAUAUAGCGGUGAGUAGGGUCGAAUUCACAGGGAUUGGGGAUAAUUCAUUUCUUCCAGAGUCCGAAGUCUAGGGGUUUUUUGGAGAAUAUAAAAUAACUAAUUAACUAACUAAUGAAACAACUAAUAGAAAUAAACAAGAAUUAAUCAAUAACCAAUACGACUCUAGUCAAAGGUGCAACUUUUCAAACACGGUUCAUUCAACUGAUCAUCGAUGCAAAGAUAAUUCAAUUACUCAUUAAUAGAUUGGUUAUAAUUGUCAUACACGUGAUAAAUAACCAGCAUUUCCUUACUUUUUUUAUAGUCAAGGUACGACCAUUAACUAUUUUCCUAACCAAGAAAUAACCCUAGGUACGACCAUAGGAUUUAAUUUCUCGAUUGCAAUAAGAAUUAGAAAAGCCGAACCCUAAUCAACAAACACGCUAUGAGGGUUCAUUUAAGUUAGAUCAUACAUUUCCCUAGCAUGAAACCAAUCACGCUAGUCGCCACUAAUAUUAAUCAAAUGAACAAUUACGUAUUCAAUCAAUUAAUCUGGCAGUAGAUUAUUGGGUUAAUUCGAAUAUCGGGCCCUUGACAUUCAAAUAACAUAACAAUCAUAAGAAGUUAAAUCAGGAAACGUACAAAUACCAAUGAAUAAAACAAAUAAGUAAAAAUAAUUCGAUCUCACAGAUAUUUAGAAUCGAGUCCUCAAAUUAACCUUCGACUAGAAAACGGGAAUUUAGCUACAUAUCCUCAAGGGAAAUCUGCAGGAAUCCAUCCCUAACCAUUGGUUUUUUCCCUCAAGACUAACUAAAGAAGAGACCAGCAGGCGUCUCCUUUUUCUUGUUCCCUCCAAGGUAGUAAUCACGCGGGAUUCCCGCCUUUUCUUCCUCUUUGUUCCCUAAUUGAAGUCUACUACUUCGGCCGUCCAUUGGCCAACCAAAAAUAGAAUUCUAAUUACAAAAGGAAACUUCUCCAACUAAUGCUAAUUGUUCCCUAAUAAGACAUCUAAUAAAAAGUGGUAGUUUCCUAAUUUUCAUCCAAUACUCCAUGUAGACCCCAUCUUGAAUUGGGAAACUAUUGAAAAAUCACCUCUUUUAUUAUUUUUUUUGCUCCACCUUCUUACAAUUGGCAUAAAAUAUCAAAUAUAAGUAGAAUCAAUCAAUUAAUACAAUAUUUGGUAAUAUAAACGAGGGAAACAAUCAUAAAAUUAAUGAUAAAAAUGUAACCUAUCAAUAACGCAAAAAUUUUGUACAACUUCAAGUAUGGAAGUGUUUGGAAAGCAUAAUUGGUGGGUAAUUUGAAAUUUUAAGAAAUUAGCGUUUGUACUGUGUAAAUAAAAGUGGUGGGGUAAUUUACUGUAGAGUUCCGACAUUGGAUUCCUUAGGUGCAGCCUUUUGCACUAAAGUCAUGCAAAAAUUCAUUCCUUCACGUGGCAACUGCAUUUUGACGGAAACCUGCAAAAAAAUAACCGUUGGUUGAGGAGAGUAAAGGCAUUUACUCCUGAACACAGCACAAAGGCUAGAAGUGCUCCUCUAUUCGGGCCUCUCUUCGCCAUUUUCAUCUGCCAACAGACGGGAAAGACAGCUGCAAUCAAACCCAGCUUGCAGAGACGUCCGGCAAACAAGAUCCUUGACUGAAGUUUUGAAUCUAUCGGACGCAUUUCACCCUGCCGCGGUCGACGCUUCCAACACCCAAACGGAAUUUCUUGCUCCGAGCCCAUUCCACUUUCUCCCUAUCUACAGCGGCAGGUACAAUUCCCUCGAUUUUCUGGAUUUAGCUGCAAUUUACAUUCCAUAAACCUGCGUUGAUCUGUCUUUCUAGUUGUCCACGGCUUCAUCAGCUGAUUAUCUCCCUUGGACACCUGAUUUUGUGUUGGCUGUGUGCGAAGAGUAGAUUUCGUUUAUGGUAGAUUAAAAUGUACUUAGGAUUAAUUGAACCCGAAUCUGAAUGAAUGGUGGAAUAAAGCUGCUCUGGCCUUUCAAAUUGGGAGGUUAUGAGCAUUAAAACUGGAUUAACUGGAUAUAUUGCAAGCAGGGAGAUUUAUUGUCUUUGGGCUUUUUUCUUAUCAUGGAAAGAAAAUUUAAUGGGGAAAAUAAAAUCUGUCCUGAAUUUAUUAGGAGGAUAAGUCGAUGUUAGAAGUUAAUUUUGCUUUAGAAUAUGUCAAUUUAAGCAGGUGAAAUAAUUGAUGGUGGACAGAAGUAAAAUAUAUUAUGACCCUUAAAAAAAUAAAUUCAUCACCCUUAAAAAAAAUAAUUGAAGUAAAAUAUAUUCUACAAUUACGUAAAUUAAAGAUGGACAGAAGUUGUUUAAUAAAGUUUUGCCAAAAAAUACAAGGGAUUUUCACUGCUUAAUUGCAUUGGCCUUUGGCAAUCAGUUUUCUUUUUUUCCAUGGUUUCUUUUGCUUUCUUUCCAAUUAAAAAGGUUUGCCUCAUAACGCACAAGGAUUGGACAAGUGUGAUAGGAAACAUAAAAGCAAAAUAUACCGGUCUGCUGUAAAAUUUAUAAAGUAUUUAAAGUUAAAUGUGGGUGGCGUCUGGAUGCCCAAGGCAGUAAUAUGCAAAAUAUUACUGAUAAUGAGCCAACGAGUCCCUGGAUUAAUACUUUGAAGUUAGCAGCAAGUUACUUGUCCUUGGCAUUGGCAUGUUACCUUCUUUAGAAUGAGAAUUACCAAAUGAGAUCCUGGGACUAUGCUCUUCCUUGGUGAUUACAUUAAAGGUCAAGUGAGCAUGCUAUGGCCUGAUUAGGAACGCAUAUUGAAAUGAGUGUACUGUCUCUUGUUGAUGCUCCUUGCUUUGUGUUUGUGCAAGUGAAAGUAACAGUUAUGCUAUUUUUCAAUGCUAGAUAGUCCAAAAGGUUUUUUGGAAAACUCUUGCUUUAGGUUCUUGAUUGGAUUUAGUUACAUAGACAAAUAAAGUUCAGCAGUGUUAAGAGUGAGCAAAGGAAAAGAUUAUUAUGCAAUUGAUGGCCUGGAUAGUGCAGGCAAUUUGGAGAAAAAAGGAUUAUUGAAUAUUCUACAACUGAAUCAUGCUUGUACUGCUGCUUUGUGCUCCCGUUUCCCUCCUCUUCUCUUUCAGCUUUGGCUUUCUAGGUUUAGAUGGACAUUGUCUUGUGAAUAAGCAAUGUGAUAUCAAUUUGGAAGGGGCCAAAUCCACACCCUAAGUGCCAACAGGACAGUAAAGCCUGUAGCAUUUAAUAUUGUAACUUCUUUCUAGAAUCUGAAGUUAUCCUUUCACACAACAAUAACAAACUGCCUUCAUAACACUCUUCUUUCAGCUAUCUCUACCAUUCUUUUAAAGACAUUCUAUGUUUUUUCCUAAUACUGACACUGCAUAAAGCAUUUGCUGUAAAUUUAUCAGAGUGAGAAAGUUUUUUCUCAUGAAUUAACACACAAAUUUCAUCCUUAAUGCUUGAAACAAAGAAGGAUCAAUUAUAGAUCCGUGACAAUUUGUGUCCUAUAUGCAGGGAAAUUUACUGAUAUCAAAUAAAUAUUAGAAAUUAGGAGACCGUAUAACUGGAAAACAUUUGCAUGAUUAUAGAUUGGAAUUAAAAGUUAAAAGAAUUGGACAAGCAAAUUAUUAUUAUUUUAUGACAGCCUGUGCUAUCAGUUUUGUAGUCCUGACAUGAAGCUUCUUGUCAUCUCCUUUGAUGCGGAACUCAUUUCUCCCACUCCAAGCAAAAUAAACUGAUGGUCUGAAGCUUUCCAACUACAAGUUGUAUUGCACUUUCAGUAUUAAGUUCAGUAUGUAACCCAAUUUAUGUAGUAAGUUCUCUUGUUAUCCGUGUUUGGAACAAACAAGGAUUUAUACCAACAAAUUAGAGGAAAAUAAUUUUUAUGGAUCCCUAAUAUAUUACUCGACAUUGAAAAACAAAUUCAGGAUCACACUGGCCUCUGUUGAAUGGAUACUUAAUGUAGCUUUUUUAAGUUUGCAAUACGCAAGGUACAACAACUACUGCUCUUAUCUAUUUGCAGCAAUUACAAUCAAUACCAAAUGAUUAAGUAAACAAAACAGAAUACUCUAUGCUUAAAAAUGCACACUAAUCAAAAUUUCAGGCUAUGCUUAUAGACCAAUCAAGCUUUGUUGGUUUAAUCUUUCUUCAAGAAGCUACAGCUGCUCUAACUUCGUUGAUGAUGGACUGCAGGAUGACAGAAGCAGGUUUUUCUCCUCCUUAACAAAAUUUUUCCUAUUCCUUUCUCCUCAAAUGUGAUGGACAUUAGUGGCAAGAGACAAUCUAGCUACUUGAUCAACAAGGUUGUUCCGCGCAUAAUGAAAACUAAUUAGCCAAGAAAGCGCAAUAUUCCAAGUAUAGGCUUCUCUAUAUGCCAAACUCAAUCCUGCACUUCUCUCCAAAUAUUUGCAGCAUUGUGGUAUGCAAAAUAUAGAUGAUUAAUAGUUUUUGCCACCUGUUUAGACAGAUAUUGCAGCAGCACAAAAGAAACCUUAGAACUGAUCAUUAGCUCAUACUCGAGAAGGGCUUAGACCACACAACCUCCAACCUUUUGCAUUGCAGCUCACACUAGACUUUCUUCUCAAUAAUGGAAUCAGAAAUACACCAUAGCAACUCUAGGGAGCAAGAAAGAUGGAGUGACUUCAAAAAGCAACCUUACUCAGAAGCCCUUUUCCAGUUUUCCUCCCAACAGGCCAAGCCAACUUGCCAUCAACAAGAAAUAGAUGAUACUUUAGCAGUUAAAGACCUCCCUAAGCUAAAACUGUCUGAAGUGAAACCACUUCCAGCAAAUAGCCUAUAGGAUGCUAGGAGUCAUACCUUAGGAAAGUAUCUUUUCGAUUUUCCACAAUGUAUUUAAUAAAUGGUUUUGUCAAGCUUUUGAAAUCAAAAAUUUUCCUCCAGCACCAAGCAGUAUCUUUUAGCAUUUCCAGCUUCCAAAUAGAUUGCCCUUAAUCUUAUGCAAAUGAAACCAUCUAAUCUACAGUGUAUUUAUUUUAAAAAAAAAGGGCCAAAGAAGUUAAACAACGCAAAAUUAGACAUUUGUUCCACACAUACAACCGUCAAAGUCCCAAUCCAUCUUCCUCUUGCUGGUAUAAGAUAUCCAACCACGAGACAGCGUGACAAUAAUACAAAAUGUAGCAAAUUUCAGUCUUGUGUGUGCAGCCUUUGGAAGUAUAAGGAAAGAACAAGAAUAAAGCUGAAUACUACAUGGAAAAAAAUUUAUCCAUUGCAGACUUCUACCAUACGUUAAUCUUUUAUUUGCCCUCCCAUUGAUCCUAGUUGUGAAUUUCUCAAUAAUAACCUUACAUUCUACUCCUCUAAGUGUAGAUCAGAGAAGAGGAACGUCCAAAUAUAUGACAGGAAGAUAUCCUCUUCUCAUUUUUAGACAAAAGCAGAGAGCUAAGCACCUUCCCUCAUAAACACCUGCCGAAAAGGCCUCACAUUUUUGUUAAUUUGGCUCAAGACAGGGGAGCUCUUCAAAACUGUGUAGUACCUGUUUUAUAACACUCAUGGACUUAUCACUGAUUCACUGGCAGCAGUUAAGAUAAACAGAUCAUCUCUAAAACAUAUAUUAUCACAUUUAGGGUGAAAAUCAAAACCUUAUUCCUCAAUUUUGAAAUCCAGCAAAGCAGCAAUAUUGGGAGUUCAAAGUCUUGAACUUUUGAUGUUUAAAUACCAGAAACAAUGUGCUCAUCUUUUAUGAUUGUAAGCAGCUCAAGACUACAUUUGUGAGAUGUUAAAAGCUUAGAAUCUAGUUCCAUCAUGAAGAAAAAUGAAUCUAUCAAAGAGGUAAGAUGCAGAGUAAUGUUUUAAACUGUAAAUGCAGUUGAUGAUAUACGUGCCAUUUAAGAUGAUCUAAAGGUCCUUAUUUAUGUAUACAUAACUGGAAAUAAAGUUGAGUUACCAGGUACUUUUCCGGUACAGUUGAAAAUGUGAUGAUUCCAACAUAUCAAAUUUAGCUAAUUAUUUGAUUAGUCUAUUUUGCCAGGGAUGUUGCACUAUGAUCCCAUGUGGAUAAUGCAGCGCAGGCCCUCUCCUUUGAGCAUGUACUCAAAUGCCAUGUUGAUCUCUGAGAAAGGCACUUCAUGGGUGAGAAACUUCUCAAAGUUCUAGCUCCUGUAAUUUAAAACCAUCAUUCUGUCAGGAACAUAGAGUCUCUCUCGUAAUUUGAUGCAAUUCAUGUUUAAUUCACACUAAAACUAAUCUUAUCCACUGCAGUAACAGACUUAAGAAUUAGUUCAACGAAGAGAAGGUAAUCUAAGAGGUUUCUAAAGAAUGAAGUGCAUACAGAUUAUUAUGUCAAAUUGUCAAUUCCUUGUUUAUAAGACUAGAAGCAUAUACUGCUUGUCUAAGGAUGAAUAUUUAGUGGAAUGUCAUGUCAGUGCAACUGGUUAAUUGAUGUACACAAUUGGUACAUAACUUGCCAUAACUUCCUUCUCCAUAAAGAUGCUUCUGGGUACUUCACACAACAGCCUAUCAGUUUUGGACAAAAGAAAUGAGUUUGCUUUAUUCAUGCACUUCUCAACCACUGAAGGAAGGUCAGUUCGCGGUUUAUAAUUGCCAAAAAAUGUUCCCUUGAGUGUCUUCUCAGUCAGGACAUUGAUUGGAUGAGUUCUGAAUGCAUCAUUCUUAUUUGGUACUCCAACAAGUACAGCAACACCCCAUCCCAUCCCUGCAAGGUCGUAGGAUUCAGUGUAGCCAGACUUUAGAAUUACUAAUUAUUGUCUUCUUGAAAUAUCAUACUAGCAAGACAUUGCAAUUCUUCUUGAUUUCCCAUCAUUAGGCAUCACUCCUCUAUUGGACUAGGAGCUGUUGGUCUUGCUGUAAGAAUCUGUUCUGCAUAUGAAUUUUAUACCAAGUACUAUUGUACUAUGGCUGCUGCUCCCCAGAAAUUUCAUGCUAUUGCUUGCCUACUUGUCUAUCAACACUGGUAGAGGAGUGAGGCUUAAUGAUGGGAAAUCAAGAUUUUCAAUAAACGGGAAACCAAUUUAUCAUUUUGUUGGAACUUCCACUUUCAGUGAAUAAACAGUGGUACAUGUUGGCCGUGUUGCAAAGAUCAACCCUGAAGCUUCCCAGAAGUAAACAUCAGUAUGGCAAAGGGAAGUGAAGAGGAUCUUCAGGCGAACUUCCAUUGCCUGGGGUGGUGCAACCUCAACUUCCUCAAUUACCAGUGGCUCCCCUGGUCCCCAUGCCACAGCAGCUGCAAAUUGCAACAACAAAAUUAAGCAAAAAUUUUUCAAAACCAAUCAGUAGAUGUAAACCAAACAAUUGUUCAUAACUCAAUCAAGUUGGUCAAGGCAUGUUAAGAUUACUUUCUGCAUUCAUUAGCCAACGAAAAAUCGGAGUUUUAUGGUGUUCGAUUUUGACUCAGCUACAACAGAGGAAGGAAAUGAUUUGAAAGGGAAGUACCUUUGCAGCGCAUCACUUGUCCUUCAGUACUGGGGCAAGUAGACUUCUUGAAUAUUCUGAAAACUUUUCUUUUGGCCAAAUUGAAACUUAGGCAGAUGGUUUUGUUGUGAAGAAAGAGUUCGUUGAAGGUGGAUAUAUAUAGCAGUAGUAAUACAAGUUAAAUGCAAUAGGUUUCAUUUUUUUCCCUCUUGGCUUCAGAAGAAAACCAGGAUUGGGAAGCAGAAGAGAAUGCUGUAAACAGAUGCUGCCUUGGUUUACAAUUUCCGGUUUCUGAAACAACUUUUUCCUUAAACUAUCCAAAAAUAAAAGAAAAAAAAAAAUCAGUAGUUGACAUUUCCGGGUACAGAUUGACUGAAAAACAAUCUUUUUGCGACUAACAAAACUUGAGGUUUGGCAUACGGUUCAUCCAAUUAGGAAAAAGAAACCGAGGAAACGAUGUAGUGUCCAAAUCCGUUAUUAAAAACUAUAAAAAGUUGAAAGCGAGCUGGUCUCAAGUUGUUAUAUUUUAUUACUGGUAUCAAUAAAUAAUUCUUGGUUGAUUUGACCAGAAAUGAAGAUGCUAAAUCCAUGGUUUUAGGAAAUGGGAAACCAGAUUUGAUUAGUUGUUUUUGUUUUGCAGGAAGCCAGUUUCCUAGCAAUCUUUUCUGCGGCAAAGGAAAAAAAAUGGAAAAGAAGUAACUAACAUUUGUCUAUUAGUUCUUUAUCAACUGUAUCUGAUUGGUUGAUUUAUGAACAAAUGGACCAAAUCAUUUAGCACUGUUUGUAACAUAAGCUUUGGCAUCUAUUUCAAGAGAUGUCGACAAAUAAUAUUGUAGGCUUUGGUAAGAGCCUUUGGUGGACAAAUGCCUGAUCCCAAUUGGUGGAGAGAAUAUGUAUUUCAUUCGCUUUUAUUUCCAAAGGUUUCAAAAGUUACAAAUGAGGCUUAUAACUUUUAUGAGUGAUAUGAUACAAGACCAAAGGCAUAUAUACCAGCUAGGGUUGCAAACGAAUCCAACUGCUCGCUAGCCGUUCGAACUUGAGUCGAGCUCAAGUUGAUUAAGUCGAAUUCGAGUUCAAAAAUACUAAACUCAUCAACUCACGAGUCGGUUUGAAUUCAAUUAUAUAUAUAUAUAUAUAUAUAAAUAGAAAAAUUACAUAUAUCCCUAAUAUUUUAUAAUUUGUUAAGAAAAAUUAUUAUUUUAUUCAUUUUUUAAAAAUAAAAUAAUUAUUUUUUUAAGGUUCGACUCGAAUUUGAAUUGAAUUCUAGUUCGAACUUGACAGUUUGAGUUUGUCAAGUUCGAGUUCAAGGUUCGUAAAAUUGUGUUAAAUCUCGGUUCGAUUAGGUUAAGACUUAACUCAGACUCAUUUGCACCCGUAAUACCAACAUUAAUAUAGAAACAUGAAUUGAGCACUUCGAGUACAUGAAUUUAAUAGUUUCAUAUGAACAAACUACGAGAAGAUACAUGAGCGUAUCAAUUAAGGAAUGAAUAUUUUAAUAUAUCUCUUGGAGAAUAAAUACACAUCCACACUUAUUAUUUCAUUAAUUUCAUAACAGAAUAUUCAUAUUAUUUUAAUUUUUAUCAUAUGUGGUGAAGUAAAAGAUAUUUUCCCAAAUGUGAUGAAUUGGCUCUUGUUUUCUUCGAGUUGAAUAUUUAUAACUUGCAGUCAUUUUUUUUCAUUAGACUUUUAUGAAACUAAAUUUGAAGACUUGUUAUUUGAUUUUCUCAAUUUCAUAUUGUAAAUAAAUCAUUUGUCAUAUAGGGUAUGUCCAUUCUAGUAAUGUGCGAAUUCAAAAUAUAUGGAAUUGAACCGGCAAAAGAUAAAAACUAUGGAAUUGAUCAAUUAAACGGUUAGUUCUAAACUUUUCAGCAUAUAAAAAUGUUUGGGAUUUCUUGUAUUUUUCUUUAAAAGAAUUCUUGUAUCAUUCAGACGGUUGUUUUUUUUUUUUUUUCAUCGUCCUUGAAUUAGGUUGAGGUAAUUCCACUUUUCACCCAGUUGAAGGUCAAAAUUAAGCAAAUUAGAAAAAUAAAAAUGUUCUUAGUUUGUGAAUUUUGGCACUUCAACGCUUGCUUUAGUUUUUGUAUAUAAAUUAGGGGAAAAGAAUGACAGUUCUUAUACAUUUACUUAAGUUUUGAUAGUUUUUAAUAACAUAAAAAUUAAACAAACUUUACCAAAAAAUUUUGUACCUUUUGUCCUACCUAGAAUUUCCUAAUACAUUUGAUCCUACCCAGAUAUGAUUCAAAACCUCCAAUAAAAUGAUUCCUUAUACAUCCAAAGCCUCUAUAUGAUUCAAUGUAUCAAUUUUAAUGCAUAUCUUAAGAAAUUUAUAAGACAAUGAAAUGGAACUUCUAUACGUCUAUGUGCAUUCUAAACUCUGAGGCACAAAUAAAAAUAGAGUAUAUUUUUUAUACACUAUCAGUUGAUAAUUUUUUUACACUAAUAAAGACCUUCAUAAACACCUUCCAUAAAGACCUCACAUUUUUGCUAACUUGGCUCAAGAGUGAGAAGCACUUCAAAACUGCGGAGCACCAGUUUUAUAACAUUCAUGGACUUAUCACUGGUAGCAGGUAAGAUAAACAGAUCGAUCAUGUCUAAAACAUAUAUUAUAACAUUUAAGGUGAAAAUCAAAACUACAUUCCUCAAUUUUGAAAUCCGACAAAGCAGCAAUAUUGAGAGUUCGAAGUCUUGAACUUCUCGGAUAGGAGAAGCUGCAAAGUCUGUUAUUGUCACAGAUCGGGUUGUGGUGCCGGAGCAUGGAGCAGAUGUUGGGCCGCAGACUUCGACUUUGAAUCCACUUGAGGAUGGGGAAUUCACUGAUCCGGAGUCUGAGAAUGACUAUUCCAUUCAACCAACUAAUGGCGCAUUCACAGAGGCUGCAUCAGAAGAGAAGGCGAUGGAGGCUGGCGACUCCUCACAGCAAGGUAAUGGAAUUACGUCUGAUGUGGCAAACGGUGCGCUCGCGAAGGUAGACCAAGUUCAUGACUCACGUGAUAUGGUGUCAGUUGGAGACACACCCUUGUGGGUACAAGUACAAGAACAGGAACAAAAUCCUCUAUGCCUCAAAAUACACGGUUUAAAGAUGUGCCACAAUUUAAAGAUGUGUUCGAAGAGUUUAAAUGGGAGAGAUUACAUGGUAAGAUCCCCCUCGUAUAUCAAAAGCCAUUUCUUCAUUCAAGUACAACAUGCAAUGAUGACAAAAAUGAAGAAGAAGAAGAUGAUUCACAACGCGAUAAAGACAAAGACCAAGACCAGAAACUAGUUCACGAACAAUUUACCCAAGUGAUUUCAAAGAAAGCGAGGAAGCAGCAAAAAGGUAAAACAAUGCAAACACGUCAAGAUGUUAAAUCAAACUCCCACGUUCACUCACAAUCCCACAAAUGUGGGGCACCUUCAUGUGGAUGAUUUUGUUCGAUUCAUCUGUUAUGUGUUUAGAUUCGCAGAUUUUUCUAUAUGUGCGUAUUAUUGUUGUCUUUAGCUCUUCCUUUUACUUUAACAGAGGUCAGGUUUGGUCCCCUCUAAUUCGCUGUACUCUUUUCGGAUAUUAAUAAAUUAAGGGAUGACAUCCCUUAAAAAAAAAAAAAAAGCUCAUUUUUUAUCAUUGUAAUCAGCUUAAGACUACAUCUGUGAGAUGUUAAAAGCAUAGAAUCUAGUUCCAUCAUGAAGAAAAAUGAAUCUAUCAAAGAGGUAAGAUGCAGAGUAAUGUUCUAAACUGUAAACGCAGUUGAUGAUAUAUGUGCUAUUUAAGAUGAUUUAAAGGUCUUUAUUUAUGUAUACAAAACUGGAAAUAAAGUUGAGUUACAAGGUACUUUUCUGGUACAGGUGAAAACAUGAUGAUUCCAACGUAUCAAAUUUAGCUAAUUAUUUGAUUCGUCUACUUUGCCAGGGAUGCUGCACUAUGCUCCCAUGUGAAUAAUGCAGCGCAGGCCCGCUCCUUUGAGCAUGUACUCAAAUGCCUUGUUGAUCUCUGAGAAAGGCACUUCAUGGGUGAUAAACUUCUCAAGUUCAAGCUCCUGUAUUUAUUAAAAACCACCAUUCUGUUAGGAACAUAGACUCUCUAUGGCAAUUUGAUGCAAUUCAUAUUCCCAUCAAUUCACACAAAAACUAAUCUUAUCUGCUGCAGUAACAGACUCAAGAAUUAGUUCAAUGAAGAGAAGAUAGUCUAAGAGGUUUCUAAAGAAUGAAGUGCAAACAGAUUAUUAUGCCAAUUCCUUGUAUAUAAGACUAGAAGCAUAUACUGCUUGUCGAAGGAUGAAGUACAUAUUUGGGGGAAUGUCGUGUCAGUGCAACUGGCUAAUUGAUGUACACAAAUCGGUACAUAACUUCCUUCUCCAUAAAGAUGCUUCACAUAACAGCCUAUCAGUUUUGGACCCAAGAGAAAUCAGCUUACCUUAUUCAUGUACUUCUCAACCACCGAAGGAAGGUCAGUGCGCGGUUUAUAAUUGCCAAAAAAUGUUCCCUUGAGUGUCUUCUCAUUCAGGACAUUGAUUGGAUGAGUUCUGAAUGCGUCAUCCUUAUUUGGUACUCCAACAAGUACAGCAACACCCCAUCCCUGCAACGUCAUUAUUCAGUAUAUUCAGACUUUAAAAUGACUAAUUAUCGCAUUCAAAUCUCAUAUUAGGUUAGCCACUACGUUUCUUAAAACAAAGUAAAGAGUAAGGAGAUUACAUCAUGAACACACUCAAAUGCAGAGAUCAUUGCAUUGAUACUUCCAGUACAUUCAAUACUGCGGUCUACACCCCCAUCUGUUAUCUCUGCAAGAACCUGAAGACAAAUUGUUCAAGGCAUCAUGAGCUGAAUAUCCAUUGUCAGGUAUAAAUUGCCUCAGAAACAAGAAAUACCUCUUGCACAGGCUUGUUGUAGUCCUUUGGGUUCACAAACUCCGUUACACCAAAUUUCUUGGCUGGUUACAGAAAAAUGAGAACAGACAGAAAGCAAUUAAAAGUAAGCCUAGUUUUCUUUCUUAUUUAGUUUCUUUUGUGAUUUAGGAACUCUAUAGCAGAAGCAAGUAUGAACAUAUGGAAAUGUGUAUUAUAAGGGCUUGUUGUGUACCUUCUUCAAAUCGGUUGGAGUUCAAAUCAACCCCAAUGAUUCUUGAUGCACCAGCAAUUCGAGCUCCUUCAGCAGCCUAUCAUAGAAAAGUAAUAGCAUGAAAUUUCCUGGAAGCAGCAGCCAUAGUACAAUAGUACUCGGUAUAAAAUUCAUAUGCAGAACAGAUUCUUACAGCAAGACCAACAGCUCCUAGUCCAAAAAUUGCAACUGUUGAGCCCUUCGGUGGCUUUGCAACAUUCAAGGUAGCACCAAGACCUGUGCCCAUAAUAUACGAUGCCCAUGUUAUUGUAGGAAUGAAAGGUUGAAUCUAAAAGGACAUCAAGUUAUGGAUUUUCAAACAAAUUUCCAACCCGUGGAGAUUCCACAGCUGAGAACACAAACUUUAUCAAGUGGAGCUUCAGGAUUGAUCUUUGCAACACAGCCAACAUGUACCACAGUGUAUUCACUGAAAGUGGAAGUUCCAACAAAAUGAUAAAUUGGUUUCCCGUUUAUUGAAAAUCUUGAUUUCCCAUCAUUAAGCAUCACUCCUCUAUCAGUGUUGAUCCUGAGGAGGUCACACAUAUUGCUCUCCUCUGACUUGCAGUGUCUGCAUUCCUUACACUCUCCUGUGAAUACAGGAAGCACAUGAUCACCAGGUUUGAGUUCCGUCACACCCUCACCAACACUUUCCACUAUCCUGAAAAAAAAAAAAUUCGUAAAGCACAAGUUGAUUUGGCUUAUGCCAUCCAAGAACAUUCUAAAUUAGCAGUCAAUCCAAGACAAAUUAUUCUCAUACCCUGCAGCCUCAUGACCAAAUAUUCUAGGAAACACUGGGGUCUGCCCCUGCACAUUGACAACAAUAAUCUUGUUAAAACUGGCAAAUAUUUGUUUUUAGGUGCAUGUACAACAAAUUAUUCUCAUGUCAUUAGAACCUUUGCUUCCCAGAAGUAAACAUCAGUAUGGCAAAGGGAAGUGAAGAGGAUCUUCAGGCGAACUUCCAUUGCCUGGGGUGGUGCAACCUCAACUUCCUCAAUUACCAGUGGCUUCCCUGGUCCCCAUGCCACAGCAGCUGCAAAUUGCAACAACAAAGUUAGACAAAAUUUUUUUCAAAACCAAACAGUUGUUCACAACUCAGUCAAGUUGGUUAAGGCAUGUUAAGAUUACUUUCCGCAUUCAUUAGCCAACGAAAAAUCAGAGUUUUAUGGUGUUCAAUGUCGACACAUCUAAAACAAGGGAAAUGAUUUGAAAUGGAAGUACCUUUGCAGCGUAUCACUUGACCUUCAGUACUGGAGCAAGUAGACAUCUUGAAUAUUCUGAAAACUUUUCUCGUGAUCAAAUUGAAACUUAGGCAGAUGGUUUUGUUGUGGAGAAAGAGUUUGUUGAAGGUGGAUAUAUAUAGCAGUGGUAGUACAAGUUAAAUGCAAGAGGUUUCAUUUUUAUUUUUAUCCUUUUUCCCCUUGGCUUCUAAAGAAAACCAGGAUUGCUUCUGCAGUAUUGGAAAGCAGAAGAGAAAGCUGCAAACAGAUGCUGCCUUGGUUUAUAUUUUCCGGUUUCUGAAACCAGUUGACUUUUUCCCUUAAACCAUCCAAAAAGAAAAGAUUAAAAAAAAAUAGUAGUUGACAUUGCCAGGUACAGAUUCUGAAAAAACAAUAUUUUUGAGACUAGCAAAACUUGAGGUUUGGCAUACAGUUUGUCCAAUUAGGAAAAAGAAACCAAGAAAACGAUGUAGUGUCCAAAUCCGUUAUUAAAAACUAUAAAAAGUUAAGAGAAAAGAAAGCAAGCUGGUCUCAAGUUGUUAUAUUUUAUUACUGGCAUCAAUAAAUAAUUCUUGGUUGAUUUGACGAGAAAUGAAGAUGCUAAAUCCAUGGUUUUAGGAAAUGGGAAACCAGAUUUGAUCAGUUGUUUUAGUUUUGCAAAUCCAAGUUCCCAGGAUUCUUUUCUGUGGCAAAGAAAAAAAAAUGGAAAAGAAGUAACUAACAGUUGUCUAUUAGUUCUUUAUCAACUGUAUCUGAUUGGUUGAUUUAUGAACAAAUGGACCAAAUCAUUUAGCACUGAUCGACAAAUAAUAUUGUAGGCUUUGGUAAGAGCCCUUGAUGGACAAAUACCUGAUCCCAAUUGGUGGUGAGAACAUAUUUUUCAUUCGCUUUUAUUUCCAAAGGUAUCAAAGGCUACAAAUAAGACUUAUAAAAUUAAUAUAGAUACAUGAAUUGAAUACUUUGGAUACAUGAAUUUAACAGUUUUAUAUGAACGAACUACGAGAAGAUACAUGAAUAUAUCAAUCAACCUUAUAAGGGAAUGGAUAUUCUAAUAUAUCUCUUAGAGAAUGAAUAGACAUCCAUACUUAUCAUUUCAUUAAUUUUAUAACAGAAUGUUCAUAUUAUUUUAAUUUUUAUCAUAUGUGGUGAACUAAAAGAUAUUUUCCCAAAUGUGACGAAUUGGCUCUUGUUUUCUUCUAGUUGAAUUUUUAUAACUUGCAGUCAUUUUUCUCAUUAGACUUUUAUGAAACUAAAUUUGAAGACUUGGUAUUUGAUUUUCUCAAUUUCAUAUUGUAAAUAAAUCAUUUGUAAUAUAGGGAAUGUCCAUUCUAGUAAUGUUCGAAUUCAAAAUAGGGAUAAUUUUAGAAACCUUCCCUGAGGUUCCUAACAAUUUCACUGAGCUCCCUUGAGAUUUAAAAAAUUACACAUACCUCCCUUGUCAUUUAAAAUAACAAUUUUACCCUUAAAUAUUUUAAUGAAAUUCCUUUAUUUGGUAUGCUUAUACUUAGAAGGAGUUUUAAAAUUAUUUUUUCAUUAUUUUUUCUUCUUAUUCCUUUUUUUUAAUUUUUUGUCAAUAAAACUGUAGAACUACCACUAUUGCUUCUAGUUUCUAUUGUAACCAAAUGCCGAACUAGUGAUUUUUUUGACAAGUUAAUUUUAUAUGUAAUCCAAUGUUUUUGUCUAUAUUUGUUUUCUAUUUUUUGGUACUAAAAUUAACAAUAAAUAAAAAAUAAAUGGCUCCAAAUCACUACCAAAUUAUGAUAAUCCCACUAUCCAAAAAAUUCAUAAAAUUUAAAUAAAUUAUUUCAACAUUUUCUUUUCUAUCUUAUAAAUAUAAAUCCAUAAUAAAGCAUCAUCAAAAGUAUCUUAUCAUAGUGAUAAAUUUAUUAUUAUAGUUGUUUAUCAAAUAGUAGAUAUGAACAUAAAAAAUUUGGCACCUUUUCAUUAUAAUUAUACUAGAUAAUCUUAUAAUUGUAUAGAAAAAUAAAUUAAAACUCAUUAUAUAAGGACAUUUUUAGGUAUUUAUUUAAAAAAUUGACCAAGUCAAUAUUAUUUUAAGAUUUUAUUACUAAAACUAUCAAAUCAAGAGAGGUAAGUGUAAUUUUUCAAACCUCAGGGGAGCUCAGUGAAAUUAUCAAAAACCUCAGGGGAGGUUUCUGAAAUUAUCCCUUCAAAAUAUAUGGAAUUGAACCGGACAAAAGAUGAAAACUAUGGAAUUGAUCAAUUAAACGUUUAGUUCUAAACUUUUCAGCAUAUAAAAAUGUUUGGGGUUUCAUGUAUUUUUCUUUAAAAGUAUUCUUGUAUUAUUCAGACGGUUGUUUUUUUUUUAAUCAUCCUUGAAUUAGGUUGAGGUAAUUCCACUUUUCACCCAGUUGAAGGCCAAAAUUAAGCAAAUUAGAAAAAUAAAAAUGUUCUUAGUUUGUGCAUUUUGGCACUUCAACGCUUGCUUUAGUUUUUGUAUAUAAAUUAGGGGAAAAGAAUGACAGUUCUUAUACAUUUACUUAAGUUUUGAUCGUUUUUAACAACAUAAAAAAUAAACAAAUUUUACCAAAAACUUUUGUAAUUAUUAACCUACCUAGAAAUUCCUAAUACAUUUGAUCCUACAUAGAUAUGAUUCAAAACCUCUAAUAAAAUGAUUCCUAAUAUAACCAAAACCUCUAUAUGAUUCAAUGUAUCAAUUUUAAUGCAUAUCUUAAGAAAUUUACAAGACAAUGAAAUGGAACAUCUAUACGUCUAUAUACAUUAUAAACUCUUAGGCACAAAUGAAAAUAGAGUAGAUUUUUUUAUACACUGUCAGCAAAUAAUUUUUUAUUUUUUUUUUACACAAGUUGAGUUAGAUAACGCCAUGUAACAUAAAUUCAAAUUUGACAUUUAAUCAUACACAUGUGGCAUACAUCCAAAGUUGCUUGUGUAAAAAAAAUUACUAUACUGUCAGUGCAUAAAAUAUUAAUCCAUAAAAAUAUAUGUAUGUGCAUGUAUUGUAAACUUUAUGUACAACAAAGCUGCACAUAAUUAAUUUUUUCGAAUUAGCAUUGGUUAAAAAAAAAAAAAGCCACUUGUGGUGAAGUGAAUAUACAGGAAAUCUCCCAUGAUUUCUAAACAUACAAUUCGACAUCUCAUGGUUUGAACUAAACUGAAAAGGCGACAAAAAUUGUCAAGACUAACAUGGGUAAACAAAAUGACAAAAAUACCCUAAUACAUAUAAGGAUAAAAUGCAGAAAACCUCCCAAUUGUUAAGCCAACUUACUAGAAAGUCCCUUGUGGUUUCAAAAAAUAUAAUAUACAUCCUUUCAUGCAUAAAACAGUUGCUCUAGUUUGGUUAAUAUCUAUAUAUGGGAUAAUACCAUGAUCACAAAAAAAAAUCCACAAUCAUCCAUUGCAUAGGUAAAGUACAUCCCUUUUGAUGGUUUUUUCGACCUAGACAAUUUUUACCUUCGCGUUUUGUGAACACUCAUAAAUCUUGUACUAGUAUUAUAAGGUCUAGUUUUGCUACCCACUCGAGAGCUUGAGAAAGAUAUAAGCAACUAUUUUGCAAAAUUUUCCUUCACUUUAUACAAAGAAAAGUAUUGAAAUUUUUACUUUAAAUUCUUAAAAAAGAGCCUCGAAACAGUAUUAUAAUAGCAAAAAUCCAAAUUUUAAACCUUUUCCCAUACCCCAAAUGUAGUGUACAUAAAACCGAUGGUUGAUUUCUCUCAAGAAGCUUUACUCCUUUUUCAAUAUUUUCCUAAAAGUUUUGGAUUAAAUCGAACUUGUAUGUUUCAAAACUACAAAGGGCAUUUCUGUAGGUUAAGUUGACCAUAGGGGCUCUUUUGUAAGGGGUAAAACGGGUAUAUCAAAUGAAAAUUAAUUAUAAAAAAACUGUUUUUAGGUACCACUUCCAACUUGUACGUUUCAAAACUACAAAGAGCUUUUCUAUAGGUUAAGUUGACCAUAGGGGGCUUUUUUGUAAGAGAUAAAAUGGGUAUAUCAAAUUAAAAUUAAUUAUAAAAAAACUGCUUUUAGGUACCACUAGUUACAAAACAAGUGCGUGUGUUUCAAACACGUUAGUUUUGAUGAUUUCCGUUGCUUUUUCAGUUUAAUUCGAAUCAUGAGUUGUUAGAUUGUAUGUUUUGAGAUCACAGGAGGCUUUUCAGUUCGUUAAACAACAAGAGGCUUUUUUUUUUUUAACCCAAUUAGCAUUUAAUAAAGUAAGGCAUCACUCGAAAAUUGAUCAGUGUAGUUCUAAAUCACAAAGAAAGAGGUUUGAGCAAUUGUGUAUGUUGUCAUUCUAAAUCAAUAACAUUUACAAAAAAAAAAAAAACUAGUUAGUUUUGGGCCAGAAAAAAAAAUAUUACGACGAAAUAGUAAUAUCUUAGAAAUGCUCAAAUUUUAGUCAUUUUAGAAAUUCCAUGCUUGGUUUAUUUUCUUCUGCAAAUGAAUUAAGAUCCUUUUGCAAGUGAACUACCAUUCUAACCAUACUCACUUCUCUAUUUGGUCCAACUAUUUUUAAGUAAAAGAAGAUUUUAGGAGUAGAAUUGUUUAUGACUAAAAAUUGUAUUACAUAUACAUGUCUUGAUUUUUCUCCUACGAAACAGAGGUUGAUUUGAUGUUUCCAGAGAUUGAUCAUGACUCAAAAGGGCACUACUUCCUCGUAAAGACCAACAAGGAGCAACACAUGGUGGUUUUCCAAGAAAAAGAAGUCCAAACAGGUUGAAAGCAAAGUAGCAAACUCGAUUGCUAGUCAAUCUGAUAACCAACUCAUGAGGGAUAUUGAACACAUUGAUCGUGAAAUUCAAGAGAUGCAAAGGAAAACCUUUUUUUUUUUUUUAAAUAGGGAUCCAUCCCUUAAUUUAUUUAUAUCCGAAAAGAGUACAGCGAAUUAGAGGGAGGCCAAACCUGACCUCUGUUAAAGUAAAAGGGACAGCUAAGGAUCAACAAUAAUACGCACAUAUGAAAAAAUUUGCGAAUCUAAACACAUAACAGAUGAAUCGAACGAAAUCAUCCACAUGAUGGUGCCCCACAUUUGUGGGAUUGCGAGUGAGCAUGGAAAUUUGAUUUAACAUCUUGACAUGUUUGCAUUGUUUUACCUUUUUUUGAAAGCUGUUUCCUCGUUUUCUUUGAAAUCACUUGGGUAAAUUGCUCGUGAACUAGUUUCUGGUUUUGGUCUUUGUCUUGAUCGCGUUGUGAAUCAUCUUUAAAGGGUUUUGAUAUACGAGGGAUCCUACCAUGUAAUUUCCCCCAUUUAAACUCUUCGAACACAUCUUUAAAUUGUGGCACAUUUUUAAACCGUGGAUUUUAAGGCAUAGAGGAUUUCGUGUCUGUUCUUAUACUUGUACUUGUACCCACAAGGGGUGUGUCUCCAACUGACACCAUAUCACGUGGGUCGUGAACUUGGUCUACCUUCACGAGCGCACCGUUUGCCACAUCAGACGUAAUUCCAUUACCUUGCUGUGAGGAGUCGCCAGCCUCCAUCGCCUUCUUUUUCGAUGAAGAAAACCAUUGAAGAAAUUCGAAGACGUCUGAUUUUUGCGGACGAAUCAGAGGUUGAUUUAGGGGAAGAUACUCACGGUUACUGGAGUUCUUCACUAAUCUAUGAUCACUAUGAAGAAGAAGAUGAUAACAGAGUUUUUAAUUUUAACACGAUGCAAGAAUCAUAUUCAUAUGAAUCAUAUAUGAAUAUGAUGCAUCCAUCAACUAAAUUUUGUUUAGACAAUUAUCUUAACGGCGACAAAAGUCCUGAGGUUGAUAGAAUAGUUGAUAAUAUUCACUCUAACAAAAAUCCAGAGGUUGAUGCAAUAGUUGGUAAUCUCGAGUCUGACAGAAGUCCAGGGGCUGAUGCAAUAGUUAAUAAUCGUCACUGCUACAAAGGUCCAGGAGUUGAUGGAAUUGAUGCAAUAGUUGAUUGUAGUAAUAAUCCCUUUGUUGUGUUGGACAAAGGAUCAGAUGCUGAUUUAUGGGAGAAUAAAGGGGUGGAUUGUAAAUCUGCACCAACUUAUGAUCUAUACAAAAGGGUGAAGGAAGUUAUGCAUUAGUAUGAUGCAACCAUAAUCAGGAUCCCUUUUAUACGAUGAAUUCAAUGAGAACAAAAGUCCAGCGUUUGAUACAGUAGCUGAAAGAAAGAAUGCCUUUGUUUUUAUGUCUUACUAUGAUGGUUUGAAGACCAGUUGGGGUUCAAAAUUAUUCCGGAAAGGGACAGCCGGGACUGUAUUUCUUGUUUCCUUGCCUUUGCUGUUCGGUUUGAUGGUUAUGGUUUUUAGAAUGUUAUAGUUUUCAUUUGUAGCAUAAACACUUUCGUGACGUUGCUUUCUUUUGUUCCGUAGUCGACUGCAUCUUGGUUUUGUUUCGCAGAACAUUCAAUAUCCUGUAUUGCAAGAAAUCAGGGGUAGACUUGAGUUUUCUUUUCUCGUGCAUAUUGUAAAAGAUAUCCUGAGUUGUUCUUAGGUGAGUUUCAUAGAACAUUGUUUGGAUCUAACUGCAAAGCAUAUUUGUUCCAGGGACCGCUGUCUAAUCUUAAUACCAGUUGCCCCGAAUCUCGAUUUGUUUCGGGUAUAUAGAUGUUUUUUAUAUUUCUUGGUACUCCGUUGCCUAUAUUGGCAAUCCAUAUUCUCCUUUGAUUUCAUCAGGCCUUGCUCAUAUUUUUCUGCCUGUUUGAAAUCCCUCCGCAAGUUUUAAGACUCCAAGUUUGGAACUCUCACAUUCAAUUUAAAAGUCAAGAAGAAGACUUAAAAUAAAUACCUUCCCCUAAUUUUACUAGUUGCAGCAACUAGUAGACAAUAAGAUUCUGUUUUGUUCCUUUGCCAGAAAAUCUGGAGCUCCGGAGGAUCAAGUCUUCUUCAUCACAAGUAGUUUAGAAUGGCAUAUUUUGUAGUCUGGUUGUUUAAAGUGCACCACUGUGACAGCCCCACCUCCCCCUAAGGCGAACCAAAGGGCUCGGCGGACCGCCUGCCCAACUCUCGCCGGGACUCACUACAGUCCUCAAUUAACAAUAUUUUGAAAUAAUAAAAUUAUGGGUCCUCACAACCACAACACGGCAGGAAUUAGCUAAAGCAAUGGGACUCUGAUCUUUUAUUUUGUCUAUCAGAUACAUUUUAGAUGGUUUCAGGAGAAGGGAAUUUUGCAGUCAUUGCUUGAUUAAUGUGAGAAUCAGUCAAGCUGCUUUUCAUGCCAAGAAUGUUGCUAGAUUGUUUGAGUUCUUGGAAGUAUCUUUGCUUUAUUGUCUAAUUCCAGCUGCAGCCCUUAAUUUCCAAGAGUAGUCAUAAAUCUAGAGAAGCAAUGAGCGAAGAAAAAAAUGUACUAAUGCUAUCUGCUUUUGAAUAUCAAUGUCUCAUUAGACAAAAAAGAACUUUUAGAGACAGGUUUCUUUCACAGUUUCAUUUGAUCAAUUGUUCUUCUAUCUUUUCUGAAUCGAUUCCCAGCAGGAUAGCACUGUUGUUUCCUGCAUUCAUAACUAAUACUGUCUUGAGCUUUCAUACUCUCAAUGAUGUUGAUUAAAAGAUAUCUGAUUGUGAAGAUCAGAAUAUCUAGUCACAUUUACAAAAUUGAUCUAGUGCAAAUGGAAAAUUCCAGUAAGCAUAUAGUGCUUAAAAUCUUAACAAAGUAAUCAAGAUACCGAAGACAUGAGAAACUUUUGUGGUAUUUUAUUACAUUUGUAGAGUGAAGGAAUAGUAAAGAAAAGUUACAUGCUACAUUUUCUGGAAGAAAAGAUAACUAAUAAUCAUAACAUCAAGCUCAGGACAAUAGUAUUCAUCGCUCACUUUGGAUGGUGCACUAUGAAUCCAUACGGAUAAGGCAUUGAUGGCCCUCUCCGUUUUAUUCAAAUACCUUGUUGAUCUCUGAAACUGGAACUUCAUGGGUGAUAAACUUUUCAAGUUCAGGUUCCCGCAAGCAUGAAGUUUUACUGAGGAUAAGAAAUCAGUGCCACAUAAUUGGUAGUUUAUAUGGCUAAAUGAAUGUAUACGUUUUGCUGCUGGUCAACAAAGCAAUGGCACGAACUCUGCUCAGCUUUUGCUAUAUUAUCUUACUAGUUCAACAAGAACAGAAUGAAUUAGAGAAAAUAUAGUAAUCUACUAUCUUGAAGUUUCAAGCGCCACAGGGAUAGUCAGUUAUUCUUUUAGAAAUGAAGCACUGCUUUGGGAAGCCAAUAUGGUAAUAUUACUGUGUCUGAACCAGCUAUUGUGAUUACAAUCCUGUUGAAGUCAAGAAGUUUCAUUGUCUUAAUUAUACCUGGCAAUUGGGCGGGUUGGGCGGGUUUUGAGCGGAUUAAUAUUGGGUCUUCACUUAAUUGGGUUAUACCCAACCCGCCCAACUUUAGAUUGGGUUGAUUUUGGGUUGGGUCAUAUUGGGUUAUCUCAAACCCAUGACCCAACUAUGACCCAACAAAUUAAUUCAUACAUUUUAAUACAUAAACUUUUUCACAUACAUUUUAACACACAAAAAAGAUUUUUUUCACAUAUAUAAACACAUUUUCACAUAUAUAAAUGUAUUUUCACACACACAAACACACACUCACUUCUUAAGUUCCUUGGAAACACAUCAUAAAUAGAAUAAUAUUUUAUAUUGCUUGUAUUGUGAAUUUUAGAUAAUAAAUUAUACAUUUAAAUAGAUUAGCUAAAAAAAUUGUUUACUUUGUACUUUUUUAAUACUACUAAUUGAAGUUCGAUGGAAUUAGUUCCCCUCCCCCCCCUCUCUUUCUUCUAUAAUCAACAAAGUUUUCAAAACUUAACUUCUCUAAUUCUUUUCAUUCUUCUAACAUGUUAUAUCAGAAUUCUGUUAAGCAAAGAAUCACUUGGUAGAUUAGCACUUGCAUUUGAAUUAGCCACCACCAUGAAUUCCAAGCAGCGUCAACGAAACAAAGAAGAUUUUAAUUCAUGGCCAUAUUUUAAAAGAAAACGAAACAUUUUUGUAUUCAUACUAGGAUCCAAACUUCCAAUUCCACAUAAACAUGUGAUUUAGUAAAUAAAGUGUUACAAGAAUAUAGAUGGCAAGGGAAGUGUAGGCUAUUUACUAAAAGCAGUUUAAGAAAAAUAUAUAGAUGGAUCAACUAAAUAAAGUUGAUUACGUGCUGAAAAUUUGGUCCCAUAACCAACUAUUAUUUUCUCUACUAGGCAUAGGGUUAAGUUGUUUGAUCUUAAUUACAUGUUUCUAAUUUUGAUUUCUUCAUUCUGAAUUUACAUUACAACCACAAUUCAAAGAACUUGUAGAAUGUGAUUUUUUGAUGGAAAAUUUUUAUAUUUUCCGUGAACACAUUUUCAAUUACCUUUUUACCUCACAUACACCAAAUUGUUACAGUAUAUAUAUAUAUAUAUAUAUAUAUAUAUAUAUUACAAAAACUCCUAAAAAUAGCAAUCCAAACAAGGUCUUAUUUUUCUUUAAUAUCCAAAUUGGAAAUAAAAUGUGUAUGUGCUUUCAUUAUGCCCAUCCAGCCACACAAAAAGUCAAUCCUAGAAGUUGCCUCUCAUUUAUAAUUUCAACAUGUUAUUUUGUUGUAGGACUUCUUGUAGUUUUUUUUAUUUCAAAAACACUUUCAAAAAUGCCUAAUCCAUAUGGAGCCUAUGUGUUUUCAUUUUUCAUAAACAAGAGAAGCUUCAACAACCCAUAGUAUAACUAUAGUGAAUUUUGUAAUUAAGACACCUUGCGUUUGCGUUUUCUUUCUUCCUUUCAGUUUGUUAUUGGAAACUUUUAUAUAAAUUCUAUUUGGUCGAGUUCGAACUCAAACUUGAAUAUGAUAACUCGAGUUCAAGAUUAAUUAUUAAAAACUCGAAGAGUUUGAGUUAAAACUCAAAUCCAAAUAUUUUUACUCGAAUAGAACUCAAAUAAUACAUAAUUCAGGUUUGACUUGAUGUGAUAACAACCUUACUUUUGUGGCAUUUUAGCCACGGGCUUGUACUACUUUGUUGAUUAUAAAAGUUGAGCAAGUUUAACUAUUGUUAUAAAAGUAAAAUAAGCAUGAGUUUUUAUUUUAAAUUUCUUUUUUAUUUUAAAUAAAAAUUUAAAAACAUGAUUGAAAAAAAAAAUUAUAUAUAUAUAUAUAUAUGAGAAUUUUGAAUACAAAUUAAUUAAUGAAUUAUUAACACAUGUCCAAAUGCAAAUAGUUGGGCAUAUGUGUAUUAAAUUUUGUAUUUAUUAUUUCGAAUUACUUUUAAACAAGUUGGGUAUUGGGUACUCAAAUAAAAAACCCAACCCGCCCAAUGAAUAAGUUGGGUUGUUCUUACCCAACCCAAUAAAACCCAUAACCCAAUUGACCCAACCCAUCCCUUAAAAUUAAUGGGCGGGUUGGGCGGGUUGUUGGGUUUUGGGCUUUUUUGCCAGCUCUAGUCUUAAUAAAACUACCUUGUUCAUGUACUUUGCAACCACUGGAGGAAGGUCAGACCGCGGUUUUUAGUUACCGUGGUCUAGAGUUGAAGUUGGUUUUUCCUGUGCAAACAUCAGACCAGAUAAUAUUUUGUCCAGGGAGGAAAAUAGAAUGUGGAAAUUUCAUUAUGAACACAUACAAAUGCAGAGAUCAUUGCGUUGAUGCUUCCAGCACAUUCAACACUUCGAUCUAUGCUACCAUCAUCUCAGCAAUUACCUAAAGACAAAACACUGUUUUCGCUGUGACCAGGAAGUUUAAUUUUAGAUUUUUUGUCUAAACACAUUAAGCAAAAACAACAAUUACCUCUUGAACAGGCUUGUCAAAGUCCUUUGGGUUUACAAACUCAGUGACACCAAAUUUUUUAGCUGUCAGCAGAUGAAAGGAAAUAGAUUAUCAGAUAUAAAUCAAUAAGCAUGUUUUCUUCCAGCUGUCAAUAUUUUCUUUGAUUGAUUUCGACAUUUCCAAACCCAAACUCAGCGACACCAAAUUUUUUAGCUCUCAGUAGAUCAAAGGUAAUAGAUUAUCAUAUUUCAAUCAAUUAGUGUGUUUUCUUCUAGCUGUCAACCUUUUCUUUUAUUGAUUUGGACAUUUCCUGGAAGAAUGUGAAAUGGAAAGAGAUGCAGCUGAAAGACUAACUUAGUCAUCUUCAUGAAUCGUUCAGAGUUUAGAUCAACCCCUAUUAUCCUUGAAGCACCUGCAACUCGCCCGUCUUCAGCCGCCUGAUAACAAAAAGUGGUAGGCAUGAGCAGCUGCCAACAGUAACAUGCAUGAUGAAACCAGCUUUUACUGUCAAUUGAAGUUUUAAAGUAUAGUAAUGAUUCUCACGGCAAGCUCAACAGCUCUGAGUCCAAAAAUUGCAACAUUGGAACCCUUGGGCGGGUUAGCAACAUUCAGAAUAGCACCAAGACCUGCACCAAAUGUACUUUCUCCAUAUUAAAUUUUGCAAGAAAGAUACAUAAAGAAAAAAAGCAUUCAUUAACAGUUUUGAGCUUGCCAAAAAUCUCCAACUUGUGGAUAUUCCACAGCUAAGAACACAAACUUCAUCAAAUGGACCUUCAGGGUUGAUCUUUGCAACAAAUCCCACGUACCAUAGUAUAUACACUGAAAGGGGAAGUUCCAAUAAAAUGAUAAAUUGGUUUCCCAUGUAUUGAGAAUCUUGACUUACCAUCACUAAGCAAUGCAUCACUCCUCUGUCACUGUUGAUGCUCUGACUUGCAGUGCUUGCAUUUCUUGCACUCUCCGGUAAAUACAGGAAGCACAAAAUCUCCAGCUUUGAGUUCUGUCACACGCUUACUGACACUAAUUUGAUUUUAUAUAUUGGGGCACAAUAAUCUUCAUUGAAAAGCUCAUCACUUCUUCGUACACCACCAGAUGAGACAGUGGCGAUAGAUUCUAAUGAAGAUUUUGAAAUUGCCACAGCCAUUCACACCUCUACUACUGUCUAUUGAGUAGAAUCAUCUGAACAUGACAGCAAAAAGAUGACAGAUGUCCAUAUAAUAGAACCCGCUCAGCUUGAUAGCAGAGAAGAAUCUGCAAUCAAUAUGUGAUAGAAUCUGCUGAAACUGAUAAGAAGGAAGACAUUAGUCUGCCUAGAGUAAAUGUCAUUGAACAUGAGAUCAAAGAGGAGAUACCAUGCAAUAAUGUGUCUGUUCAAUGGUCGGAAGGUGCUUUUUUCACAGGCUUGACUUGAGAAACAAGAAUGGUUGAAUAGGAUCGAGAGUGGAAAAAGUUGAAGAACCAGAAUGUAGGAAUGUGAGAAGUGUUGGAAACUUUUCAAAAUUUGUAUGAUGUACAUACAUGUAAUUAAUGUAUAUUCAUGUUUUUUGGUACAUGUAUAGUAUUGUGAAUGUUUCUAUUAUGUACAUUCAUUUAUGAAUGUAUUCAUGUAUAUGGGAAUCCUUGAAUGAAAUGAUAGAUUCAUGUUUUGAUCUUAAGAUCAUGAGAUGCAUGAAUUAAAAUGCAUGAAUUUGUACACAAUACUUUGAAUCUAUUCAUACAAGUAUUUUAUGAGUUCUUUUGUUUCUCAAACAAUCUUCCUAUAUAAAGAGGUCAAGUAGAGAGUGGUUUGCUGCAGAAAAUCACUUUCCUACUAUUGUAUACUCUCCCAAAAGCACUCCUUAGUUCAAAAGGGUUUGUCUUGCUUUGUGCAAGAGUGUAAGACAAACAAACUUCAUCUUAUCCUAAAGGAUAUUUGUCCAAGGUCUUUGCACAUCAUACCGGACAAAUAAAGCCUAAAGGAAAGUGAUCUUCUAUCACGAUUUGAAGCCAAUUCUUGUCACGAUAUUCGCCAGUUCAUUGCAAAAUUCUAACAAGAAGAGCCAGAUGUUAUCUAAGCCAAGAUCCUAUCAUAAGAGAUUCUGUAUCAGCAUCGUUCCAUUCUUAGUAAUUCGCCUGCAGAUUAUGAUCUUAAUCUUUAACAGGAAUGUGAAAUUUACUUUCACCAAAUGCUGUAUUUCGAAUUUUCAGGUCUUCUCACACAUUUUACUAUUUUUUCAUCCUCAUUUCUCCGCAGGUCUGUGCCUUCGAAUGACAUUUUUGGCAAACUCUACAAACUCAGAUCUGAAAAUAUUUUCUCCCCACGAAGUAAUGCAUCAACAGGACACUAGAACUGAGGAGUUUGAGGCUGCAAUGAGUUCGGAUAAUUGUAAAGCUCAACAUUGACAAGUAUAUUUGAUGAGAAUGUUUUUUUGUGAACGAUGAGUAUAGCUUCAUUCAUAGUAAUGUGGUAGUAGUUUAUUAUCACCUUAGUCCCUUCGGGGAUAUCCAAUAAAAGAAAGGUAUUGAUUUUCUUGAAAUAUAAUAUUCCCCACCAUUCAAUUUAAACUUUCAAAAGUCAGAACCAUCCGAGCAGACUGACAAAAUGGGAAUAAAAAAGGGUUAACAAUAAAAAAAAGCCCCCUGUAGUUUAGCCACCAUACAAAAAAGCCCCUUGUGAUUUCAUAUCAUACAAGUCGAUACCCCAUGGUUUGAACUAUUUUGAAAAGUGGACGGAAAUCGUCAAAUAUACAACGUGUGUCUUAAACGCACUGAAAGGCGCAUAUUUCUUGCAGAAAAUAGAUUUCUAUCACAAACUUUCACCUGAUAUGCCUACUUUACCCUUCACACUUUAAUAACAAGAGACGAGCUAGCUGUUUGACAAAAUAACAGAAACCCAGGUGGAGGAUUGCAAUCUUGUAUGAUCUUUGAACGCUAGCUGUUUGAAAAAAUGGCCUAAAGACACUAUCAACAGCAACAUCUCCACCUGGGUUUCUAUCUCGCUCUCUCUCCGUCUCACUUAGCUUCUUUAACCCCACUUUUUUCGAGUCUUAAACUUAGUUUAUUGCUUCUCAAAUUUUCUUAUUUUCCUUUCUGCUCUGGGUGGUUGGCACCACUCCCUGGCAAUGGACAAACACCAUCAGCAGCUGCCACUGGCCAAAUGCUCGCGGCAGCAGCGAUGCAGCGAAUGGUUAGUCUUUGGUCCCUGCUUUUUCGUUUAUCUAGCCGGACUUUUCUUUACCAAGUGCCUCCUUGAUUCAACAGUUGGGUCUUAUGUUCGAAAAUACCCUUCGAAUGCUGCCUUCAAUUUUGGCCGAAGCCGAAGCCUCGGAAGACUCGGAAGCUCGUAUGCUUAAACAAAUAAAUCAACAAAAUCUUAAAAAGGAAUGGACCAUUUCUACAGUCAAUAAGUAGUAUGAAGAUAGUGGGUUUGUUUUAUAGUAGAGUGUAUUAUUCUUUUAUCCAUGCAGAUAAAAAGGCGAAAAGGAAGCAAGGGACCGGGGCGGGGGGAGUGGUGGAAGUUUGUUUCAUUCAUGAAAGAAAGUCAAGAACAAUAUGCUCUUUGCCUGAAGAAAGGAGGAGGCAAAGCAAAGGAAAGCAGAAAAGAAGAGGGAAGAAAGGCCGUUAUUCUGUUUUCUGACAUAUUUUACUCCUUGUCCGGUUGUCCCCCUCAACUAAUCCUACUUAGUUUUCUUAUCCCACAAAUAAUCAAUGAAAACUCUUUUCUCCCUCUUUUUUCAAGCUCUGUUCGGAUACCUUUUAUGGGUUUUUUUGUUUUUGUUUUUGUGUAGGUGUUUUUUCUCCCCCGUUGGUUUCGACAGAAUGAAAGUGCAAAAUUACUUCUGCAAUUUUCGCUUAUAUCAAAAGGGUAUUUUCAUCUUUUCAUUCAAUUCCAUCUGUUUUAACGAUUUCCGUUGACUUUUCAGAAUAAUUCAAACCAUGGGAUACCGAUGCGUAUGAUAUGAAACUACAGGAGAUUUUUCUGUAUGAUAGCUAAACCACAAGGGGCUUUUUUGUUGAUAACCCAAUAAAGAAACAUAUCAUAAGACAACUUUCUAAUCGAGUUAAGCAUACAAUAAUGUAAAUUCUUGCUUUUAGAACAUUUAAUAUUCACUCGAGGGAAAAAAAUACACUAUAUCACUUUCGAAAAACAAUGAGCAAAAACUAAAGACAAAUGUUAAGCCAAGUUGAACUGCACAGACAUAACCUGGAUUUCCUUCCUCUUUUUUAUUAGAUUUUUUUUUUUUGCUAAAUUAUAGAAAGGGCAUAUUACUUGUUUCAAAAAUUAUAUUAUGAUGUAAUCAUAUUAAGCAUCCUAUUUUUGUUUUAUGGUUUUUUUUCCUUCAUCAAUAAUCUUUUAUGAGUUGAAUAAUAUGAUAUAUAGAUUGAUAAGAGAACAAAAUGGUUCAAAAUUCACAGUCAAUAAAAUGGAAGAUUUGUUUUUUUUUUCAUUUAGCAUAUCAAUAACAUACCAAAAAAAAAUUACACUAUUUACCUAUAAUUAUAAAAAAAAAUAUCAGGCAAAUUGAAUUUUCAUUGCAGGACUUUGAGUUUUUUAUUAGGGGUAUAAAUAAUAAACAAGUCAAAUUCAAGUAUUUAAAUUUAGGAAAAUAUGAAUGACACUCAAUUUUUGUUAAUGACACUCCCAUCAUUUGUUUUAUCAUGUAGUAUUAUAAAUGAAAAUUAUACGAUAAAAAUGAUAAUGGGAGUGUCGUUAGUGAAAAGUGGAGUGCCAUUCCAAUUCCCUUAAAUUUAUUUGAUUCAUUGAAUAAAUUUAUAAUUACAAAUUAUAUCAAACUUAAUGUUUUCAAUGCAAUAAAAUUGAGCUGAAAUAGAGGUUUUAUCUACACUGUGAAUUUGAUUAGGCUCCAUUCAAUUGUCUCGCAACCCUAUUCCAAAUUUUGAUAAACAAAUUCUUCAACAGCUAUUGGCCAUAUUAGAAUAGAAGAGCAUAAAACCCCAUGAUAAUGAGCAAUAAGUCUGAAUCCCGGCGAAAGUUGGCUUAGAAGAAAACUGAUGCUAGAUAUUUAAGAUGAUCAACCAAGGAAACCCAUGUUCAAAAUUAGUUCAUUAUCUCAAAAAUUGUAUCUUAAACUAAUCAAAAUAAGAAAUACGCAAGUUUGAAUACAGUACUCCACCUACAGCAUCAGCAAGGAUUUUUCAAAUUAUUUUCCUCUGUGAAAAGUUCAUUGUUUGGGAGGUAAGCAACAGAACUUUAUUCAGUCAUCUAUACUUUGUUUUAACCGUUGAAUCCAAAUUGAGUCACCCAAAUGCACCCAUUGUGGUAAGUGUCCUUUUCUCCCCCCCCCCCAAAUUUUUAAAAUCAGAGCCUUAAAGCUCACACCUUUCUUUAUACAUGAUCAUGUAUAGGAAUCAGUAAAGCAUGAUAUGAAAUUUUGCAAUGAAGAUAUGCUAUGUAUUUGUCUUAAUAUUCAGUAAACAAAUUAUAAUUCAAAAAAUUAUGAUUCAAAGAGUUUGAGUCUUAAAUUAAAGAAAUAUUAUUAUCUACAGUUCUUCUAUCAGAAUGUAGUGGCUGACUGACUUAACUGAGCUACUUUUCGUCAACCAUGAGAGAGAAUCAAGAAGCAGAACAAGAUAAUGAUCUUCUUGCCUUUCAAAGGUUAGUAAAAUCUUUUUCUAAUUUUUUGUGCUACAUUUUGCCCAAACAUUAAUAAAAAAAACCAUGCUUGUUCAUUUAAUUUUUAUCACUAUUAUUUUUAUUAGUUUUGUUAUAAAUAAAACUAAGGUGCAAUAGUUGUUUGACUAAUAGAUAUGCUAAAGGUGUUCUUGAACUCCAAUAGAAUAUUCUGUUAAUGUGAGAAAUCUUGUGGUGAAAUGUUUAAAUUAUUCAAUGUAUGCCCUGGGCUUGACACAAAGGAAGUGAAAUCAUACAUCUUAAUGGGAAUGGCUGAGAUUUAUAUUUAUCUCUGUGUUUUCAUGAAGGGCCAAUCUGAUCUUAUGUCCUAGUAUAGGAAAAGUCCAAUAGGAAUGCAAUUUUUUUUAUUUUGUUAAAAGGAGUGUAUAGAAAAGUCAUUCAAAUGUUACAUGUCAAUUAUGCAUUCAGUUAGAGGGUUCUAAGAAGAUUUAUUUUUUAUGAUCAUGCAAUUGGCUUCGAUUACUCUAACUUGUUCAUGCUUUCACUAGUGUACUAGUUGAAUGUCGUGUUUUCCUAAUUUAACAAGAUCCCUCACCCAGGAGGACAUUAAAAGAGACGUGCAGUACAUGGAAAAGGCCACAUGGUUGAUAUAGCAAAUAAUUAAUUUGAUCUCACAUACCUACACAAAACUGGAAGUAAAUCCACUAAAACAGCACUUGGGAUCCUCUGUGACAUAUUUGCAAUGCCAAUCCAAUGCCACCUAUAGCAUUGUGCCAAGUGUCUUAUUAUUAUUUACACUUUAAUUUUCUAAUAAUUCAAAUUAGUUUGGUUUAACACAAAUUUUCUAAUCCCUCUAAACCUUUGAACCAAAAUUAACCACUGGUCUAAUUCAUCUACCAAUACUUUCAUCAUUGAUUGCCUUCAAACCCUUCAAACUCUCCGAUCCACUCCGAUGAGGUCCACACUUCACUGCCGAUUCCUUCUUCCUCCGAUGAGGUCCUUUUGAUUGGCUCAUCUUCACUGCCGAUUGGCUUACCGUCAAAGGCACCUGCGGCUACGGAGGCUACAGCGCCGGCACCACCACCACCGCCAGAGGUGCAGCAACCUGCGCUGUCUCAGACCCCACAAAAAAUCCAGAAGGAAAAGGCUGCCAUGGCUGAGAAAGACGUGGAAAUGAUGAGACUGAAGCUAGACAAAGCUCUCUCCGGCAGCAUGGACCGCCGCUCUGGUUUUGAUCUCGUGGAUCACUUGCUUUUUUUUCUCUUUGACUUUGUUCAAAGCAAUCAACGAUGAAAAGGUUUGGACUUUGGAGGCAACGGUGCGGCAGGGUUAUCUUUUUCUUUUUUCCCAGUGGUUGCCGUACAAAAGGAACCCAAGUGAAAUUAGACCGGUUGAUUAAAUUUUGGUUCAAAAAUUUAGAGGGUUAAGAAAAUUUUGUUAAAUCAAACCAAUUUGAAUUAUUAAAAAAUAAAGUACAAAUAAUAACAGAACACUUGGCGCAAUGCUAUAGGUGGCAUUGGUUUGGCAUUGCAAAUAUGUCACCGAGAAUCCCAAGUGCUAAAACAGCUAAUACGCUAUGAAGACUUCAUUUACUGCUCCAUUGACUUCUUUGAAGGAGCUCUACUUGAUAUCCAUUUCUCCAUUUAUGCAAAGGAUUGGACAUGGUAGUAUCAUUCUCUAUUGCUUAUCCAACUCUAUAGGUUUAUUCAAAACUAAAGAACUAUGCAAGAGAAAUAUCAAGUUUUACCUAUGUGCUAGUGCUCUAAGAGAUGACUAUAAAAGUCUUGAAGGGACUCUUACUUCACUUGAUCGCCACACUCAUCCAUAUUUUAUAUUUGUUAGCUUUCUAUUGAAUAUUUCUACCUCUUGAGCAAGUUCUGCAUGUAGUGCUUUUAACCGCAUACUUCCAAUCGGAGUGCUAAAACAGUUGUCGUUGUGUAAGCCGUACAUUUGUUUUGCGAUCUAAGCCACUUUAACUCUAAGAUUGGCUCUAUCUUCCAUGCUUUUAAACUUUCUUACUACAUUUUGUGAGGUUGUUUCCACCUAAUGGACUUGAUUUGUCCAAUUAGGACUUUUUAUGAGUUUUUAGUAUGCUAAAUUAGUAUAUAAAUGAUUAUCUUAACAAUUCCACAUUUUAAUUAAUCUCGCAUUCUCGUCGAAUAGCUUUUUCCUCUUUCAGGAGUUAACUGACUAUUUACUCAAUUAAUUAAACUUUCCUAUUUUCCCUUGAGGUUUAAUUGUCUUUAUGGUGUUCUGUUGCCUAGAUGCUUUGGUGUCUCCACUGCUUUACUCAUUAUACUUUCCCUAUCACAUAUCUUGGCAAUCUGUCGUUUUCCAAGCUUUUAUGUUUCGAUCUACCAACUAACCAGUUGUUAUUUCUUUCAUACAUUAAACACUCUGAAAAGAAAAGCCUCGUUAGACCCUGCUGCCCUCCUUUCAUGCCACCAGGUGUCAAGGCUCUGGAGAAAGUCAAUCUCGUUUAGAUUACACCGAGGUACUUCGGAAUUUCUAUGUGCAUUAUAUAAGCAUCGUCUGCUUUCUGAUUCCUCUAUCAAUCUUUCUUAUUUCUCUUGAACCUUUAAUUCGACUGUGGUUUGCAAUCAGAAAAUGGACUCUAGGACAUGCAACAAUUCUAUCUGGACGAGAGAGGAGGAUAAAGCAUUUGAGAAUGCCCUGGCAUUCUAUUUAGAUGAUAGCAAUCUAUGGGAGAAAAUUGCGGCUGUAGUACCUGGAAGAACAGUUGAGGAGAUCAAAAUGCACUAUGAAGUCUUAGUUGCAGAUGUAAAUGCAAUUGAGUUAGGCCUUGUACCUUUUCCUCGUUAUGCUGAUUCUUUCAAGAAGUCAAGAAAGCUGGUUGGGCAUGUUGCUAUUGACAGAAAGGGAAAACAAUGUGAAAAAGUCCAGAGUGAAUCCAGUUGUAGAGGAAUAUCAUUACGAUCUGAUCCAGACUGCAAAAGGGCUACAUGGUCGGAAGAGGAGCACAGGUAGGCUAUGUUUCAAAUAUGUAUUCUUACAUGCAUACAAUUAAUUUUUGCUAAAUAGUCCUUGAUAAUCUUUCGUGGCUCUUCAAUUCGGAAAAGGAGCACAGGUAGAAUAUGAUUCAAAUGUGUAUUCUUACAUGCAUACGAUUAUAUUUUGCUAAAUAGUCUUCCAUAAUCUUUCGUGGCUCUUGAAUUAUGAUGAUCUCGAAUCUCUUAUUUUUAUCCCUGAGAAACUUGGUCACCGACACAUGUCAUUAGACUUAUAGAAUAGUCAUGCCAAGUAAUUUCUCAUAGAUUAAUGCAUUUUAAUUUUGUGGUAUUUAUUAAGGUAUUUUUCUACAUAGAGAAUUUUGCUAAUAGUGUUCUUUGCUUUCAUAUACUCUGGAAUUGCACAUUAGCACAUUCCUCAAUUGUAUGGACAUUUGACAUUAAUAUAUGUAUAUACUUUGUCAUCAGGGUAAUCUUGAUAUUAAUAUAUAUAUAUAUAUUUAUAUGUAUGUAUAAUCUUUUGUGGCUCUUGAAUUAUGGUAAUCUUGAAUCUCUUAUUUUUAUCCUUUAGAAACUUGGUCACCGACACAUGUCAUCAAGGUUAUAGCAUAGUCACGCCAAGUAAUUUCUCAUAGUUUAAUGCAUUUUUAAUUUUGUGAUAUUUAUUAAGGUAUUUUUUUGCAUACAAAAUUGUGAUAAUAGUGUUCAAUGCUUUCAUAUGCUCCAGAAUUGCACGUUGGCAUAUUUCUCAAUUAUAUGGAUAUUGGACAUUAAUAUAUGUAUACACUUUGGAUAUUGCACAUUGGAAUGAAAAUAGACAUUUCACAAUGAGUUCAUUUAUCAUUUUAUCACAUAUGCUAUUGAUAUCUGUAUAGCAAUAGACCUGUUUUUACCAUUGUCGCAAUUGGCCAUGUGCCAAUAUGACUACUUUGAGAUAUGCAUUUGAAACAAGGUUUCUCAAACACAUAUGUGAAGUAUCUAUGUGUAAUCAUUAAUCGUUUUUUGCAUUUUAUGCGUUAACAUGGUGAUUCACUUAUUUAUAUGAGUUGCAUCUCCGUUUUUACACUUAAUCAUGUGUUGCACAUCAAUAUUUGAAUUUGCUCGUAAGUGUCUGGUGAGAGACCUGUGUUUUUUUUAAUGCUCUAGAGAAUCAAGAAAAUGUGUCAAAUGUGCCUGAAUGAUGGUGAAUGCAUAUGUGAUGUUUUUUUCAUGGUGUUUCUUUCUUUAUACAUUACAAUUCGAUUGGUUAGAUGAAAGCAAAUUUGUUUUUGAUUGCAUAUUAAUAUAUCUAUAUUGCUAAGAUGAUUGCAUCUUUGAUUGAAGGUUGCAAAGUAUCUUUUUGGUAGAAGUAUAGGGCCUGUUUGGAAGCCAGGUUUUUGGACAAGUUUUUUACUUACUAGUUUUUUAACAACUUUUGCUACAGGAACUCCAAAAAACUUCUCAAAAUUUUUUACCUACACACUUAAAAUAUCCAAAACACAAAAAAAAAAAAUUUUCCCUUCCCCUUCUCUUCUUCUUCUUCCUCCCCCACCCCAACCCACCACCACCUUUGUCGCCGGCCACCACCUCCGCCGCCGGUUCCGGCGCCGAUCACCUCUUCCGGCGCCGGUCUUCUUUUUUUUUUGCCCUUUUUCCCUCUCCCCAUCUUCCUCCCCUGCCAUCCUCCCCUCUGUCUUUUUUUUUUCUCUCUACGUCUUCCCCACUCCUCCCCCACCACCCUUCCCCUUCCCCUCUGGCCGAUCUAGUCGCUAGACCAGAUCGCACGGGGGAGGGCGAGGGUGGCGGGGGAAGGAGAGGAUGGGGGAGAAGGAAAAUUGCCCAAAAAAAAAAUUUCAUUUCGCUGCUUCAUUUGCCGACAAGAGCAAGGAGAGGAGACGGGAGGAGAGGGAGAGGGAAAAUGUUAAAAAAAGAAAGGGGCAAAGGGAAGGUGAGAAGCGGAAAGGGGAACAGGGGAGGGGGAAAGGGCAGAAAGGGUGGCGGGGGAGAGAGGGAAGGGGCAGAGGGGGUAGCGGGGGAGAAGGGAGUAAAGGGAUGGUGGGCAUAAGGGUGGCGGGGGAGGGAGUGGGAGGGGUGGCGCCCAAGGGGGUGGCGGCAGAGGGGGAGGGAACGGGGAAGGGAAUGGGAGGGGAGUGGGCGGCCGAGAGGGGAGGAAAGGGGUGGCGGGAGGGAGAAGGAGGGGGGGAGAGGAGAAAAGAAAAAAAAAAAAGAAGAGAGAUGGGGCUGGCGGAGGUGCUGGAGGUGGGAGGCAGAGGUAACGGGGAAGGGGGAGGGGGAAGGAAGAAGAAGAGAGGAAAGAAAAGAAAAAGGAAAGAAAGAAAAAGAAAAAGAAAGAGAGAGAGAAAAAGAAAGAAAGAAAAAAAAAGGAAAAAAAAAAUUUCAUCUUACAAAAACUUCUACAAAAUUUUUCACAUUACAAAAAUUUCUAUAAAAAAAUUUUUCACCUCACAAAAACUUCUACAAAAAUUUUUCAAAAACUUCUACAGUGCACUGCAGUAAAGUUUUAGACAAACUCCCAAAAAACUCAGGUUCCAAACAGACCCAUAAUUUGAAUGGUAUACUGUAACUAUACUACAUACUUGACAAAUGAAGAAUCAAAUUAAAUAGCCUAAUUGCCUAUUUAGCUUGAAAAAGCUUAAUCCUAGCGACAAUAAUGUUUCUCUUCAGUUAACUGUGAUUUUCAAAUUCCAUUAUAUAAGUAUGUAAAUCUAAGUAUUCUUAAAGAUUUGAAAGAUGCAAUCUAGUUUCAUUGUCCUAUUUUACUUGUUGUUAUUUGAAAGAUGAGAUUUCAAAGCCAACCAUUUUUCUCUCCCCGUAAUAUUGCAUAACAGAUUAUUUCUCCAAGGCUUGGACAAAUAUGGGAGAGGUGAUUGGAGAAACAUUUCCAGGCUCUGUGUCCGUUCUCGAACUCCUACACAAGUGGCCAGCCAUGCACAGAAGUACUUUAAACGAACAGUUGUUGUUGAUAAGAAGACAAGGUCGAGUAUCCAUGAUGUAACAAUUCUUGACAAUGGGAAGAUAGUAACUCAACAAGUUCAGACCACUCAACUAGUUGUUAGAGCUUCUGGCAAUUCUAUCAUGGACACUGGGUUAUACCAGUCAGUGAAUAAUAGAGUUAGUGGUGAUUAUCUGCAUGGCUCUCUGAUUGAUAGCCAGUGCAAUAUGUUUUCGCAUGUGCCGAGCACUAAGGAUAUUAGUGCGGGAAUCGAUUUGCUCGAGUCUCUACUUGAUUCCCUGGCUGAUACUCCAACUCCCCAAGAGCCAAGCAGUCAAAAAAUUUCUGAAUUUACAAGUGCCAGUUUGUGCACCCCAGUGAAUGCAAACCAGCAUAUGCCAACUAAUGGGGAGGUAGUUAUUGAAGAUACAAUUACGCCUGCUGAUUUAGAAAUUUUUAAUUCCCUAUUUAUUUUCCAGCAUGACAUGUCCAAUUCGCAAGGACCUAUCAUCGGUGAAGUUAUUGGAACUGCUGAAAGUCCACAAAUGCUCAAUUUUGAAGCAUUGCCAUUGUCAGUUCACCAUGAUUUUGGAGUCCAUGCUCCUCUAACUGCUAGCCAGCCAACUCUAGAUCCCCUACUUUCAGAUGGGAUUCGGGGAUUAUUUCCCUAUCCUGGGUCGUCAAUGUUUGAAAUGGACUUAUCAGAUUUUGCAACUUUUUUUUGUGAUGAACCUGAUGAAGUGGCUGCCCCGACUUACCCAGCACCUCUAUCAGGCCAGAACUGAGUGAAUCAUUGUGAGGGAGAUUUGUUCGCAAUGUCAAAAUGAAGAAGAACUCGCAUGUUCUUCACAGAAGUUUAUCCUACACAAAUGUAAUUCUCCCCUUGCUCAGCUCUCUCGGUGACUAAUAUUCUAUUUUGGACUGGUUUUCAGAGUGUGUGUAAAAUAUGUAUUGUAUAACUAUUAGGACGAAUUUGCCAGUAACUUGUUAUAUUAUCUGCUUUCGAUAUAGUAUAAAGGUGUAAGUAAGUAGAUAAAUGGCACUAAGAACUUCAGUAAAUUAGGGUAAACGAGUGUUGCAAUCUGAAUUAGUAAUUAGCAUCACGUACUUUGCUAAUUACCAACCAACCCAUGAUAUGGGUUUGCAAUGUCCAACCUAGGCCCCAACUUAGCUUGAAAGCGUGAUCGUCUCUAUUGGGCUAAACAUGACUUGGUCCUCUUGCAACUUCAACGCGUGAGUUUUGCUUUCAUUUUUCAUUUUUAUUUUUUGGAAAAAAAUAACAGUAUUAAUCCUACUCUAGAUAUUACUUCUAAUGAGGAUCGAAUUUGAGUUUUUGGGGUAAGGAAGCUAGAGGCAAUGACACUAGUAUGACAGCAUUUUAACUUUUUAAUGUGUAAAUUGGAUUAAAUUACUUAGUUUCGUAACGUCUAAUAGACUAAAUACAUAUGAAAACUUCGAAAGGAUACUAUUUGAUUCUCACUUUUUCAAAAAAAAAAAAGAAUUAAGACAUGACAUGUCAAUAUAACACGUUUUUUCCUUUUUGGAGCAAAUGCAAGGCGUGCAUCUUCGUGUGUGUGUGUAACACCUUUGAAAUCUCUUAAUUCAUUUAUACCAUAUAAAUUUGUUUGUGUGUGUGUGUGUUUUAUAUUUUUAUCAAUGAUUUAACCCCUCUAUAUGGUAGGAAUUUUUGUGAAGCAUAUCAUAUACUGAAGUGUAAAUGGUUAUCAUUCACUAGCCAAUCCUUUUCACGAUUAGUUAACAAUACAGCAGUUAAGAAGAUAUUCGUCUCUGAGUGACCGUAGUAGUGGUGAAGUGUAUUUACUUGGCUCUUUCCUUUUGACUGUUCCAUGUUUCGCAUUUGUUGUAUUCACGUCACCUAUGAUUUAAGUAAAACAACGUUGCUAUCAGUUCAACCACUACAAAUCUUAAAAAGUUUUAGGUUCCAUUCGAUAAAAGUGAAUCUGAAUUUUGAAAUCUGAAUACUAAAAUAAUUAAUUUGCUGAAUUUUAAGUACUGAAAAGAAAUAUAUGAAUGUCUGAAUUUUAAUGCUAAACCUAUUUAUAUUGUUUGAUAAACAUUUAUAAUUGAACGUUUAAUAAGUUAAAUUUGAACAAUUUUGCCCUUAUAUCUUUUCAUCCAAAAAAGAAAUAGAACCUAUAAUUUAAUUAGUUUAAAAUUGUUAGGUAUGAAAAUGACAAUAUUUAUUUUUAAAUGAAAUUAAUAUAAAAGAUGAAAUAUAUUAUAUGAGGAGUAUGGAGAAAAUGUGAAAGUCAUUAAAAAUAGAGAAAAAAGAAGUAGAAAACCGUUAGAUAGAGGAAAUUAGGUUGUUUAAUUAGAUAAAAAUUUUGAACAUAAUUAACAAAUAAAGGUAAAUUUAGUAGAUAAGAUAGUUGAAGUAAUUCUAUUGAUUCUUAUUAGAAUUAAACAUUCAGUUAGGAUUCUUGUACUGAAAAAAAUACACACAAAUUCAGCAAUGCUUAACAAGUUCAGUAGAUGGAUUUUUAUUUAUCAAACAUCCAAAACAUCUGAAUACUUAAAAAGGUUCAGUUUCAGCAUUUUUGUAUGUUAUCAAACAGAUUCUUAAUCUUUUCAUUAUUAUAGUAGUAUAUUUUUACCACGACUAACUCCUCUUUUUCAUAAACCAAUACUAUAACUUUUCAAUUUAACAUUCUAUAACAACUACCUCUCCCAAUUAAAACACAACCCCCUCCCCCCCCCCCCCCCCCAAAAAAAAAAACUACUAGGAUUGUGAAAAGAAAAGGAAAAAAAAUCAAGUUCAAAACACUGCCAUUUCUGUUGAACAACAAUUGCGAGUUAUGACUUUUGUUGUGGUACUUAGAAAUCGGUUGAAAUGAUGGAUUUAAUCUACAACACGCGUUAUCUUACUUUAUAUCAGAUUUAACUUUCAAUUAAUAGUUUGAAACGUUUGAAUGAUGAAUACCAUCCUAUUGGCUUAGUCUAAAAGAAAAAUAUCCCUUUUCACUUGAUUCGAAUCUAGAUGGAGUAAUAUAUCUAUUAUCUAACUAUUUGCUUGUAGUUAAUACCGAAAUAAUCUGCAGGUUUUGUUAACAUGUUACGUUAGCAUUUGGAAUUUUGUAAUGAGCAGGUAUUUCUCCCCGCGGCAGGCUUUGGACUAAUAGAGCUAAGACAUCAUUACCUCUGUCCAUAAAAGUAGUCAAGUAUUUUUUUAUUUUUUAUUUUUUAUUUUUUUUGGGGGUAAGGAUAAGAUGGCAAAAACACUAGAAAAGUCCAUGGAAAUUUAGAUUCAUCAAAAUUAUUACCAAGAGUGACGUGCCAUUUAGCAUGAUCAUUCAAAUAUUUGUUUUAUAUAAUGAAUUUAUUUUUUAUGUAUAUUAGAUCCAUGCUGUACUACAGAUAUGUUAUAUUAUUACCAAUUGCUGUAUUCAUAUAAACAACUAUUUUGGAUUUAAUGGUAACAUGAACAGUGGCACAUAGCCUAGCUCAUUUGGAGAUUGGAAAAACAAAAAUCACUUUACUUAUCUGAUAAAAUAUCAUUGAUAGUAGUGCAUUAUGUGACAGUAUCAAAUGAUUAUAAUUAUUUGCUAAUAUCCUUUUAGGGUAUCUCAUAUGUUAGUUCUUAAUAAGUGAGAUUAAAUAAAAUUAGAAAAUUGCUCAAAUUAACCCAAAAAAAAAAUCUACACCCGUUCAAAAAAAAUUUUUUUGGAAAGUGAAAUUAAAGGGCAUCAUUGGUAGUGGUGCAUUAUGUGGAGGUAUUAUACGGCAUAGCAUAAUGAAAUUCCUAAUAUUUUUUGGGGAGUUUCAUUUGUUAGUUUUUGAAAAGUGAAUUUAAAUUGGAAAACACACUCAUUGUUAAAUGAAGAGAUUUUUUUUUUAGUGCAUUUUUUCAAGCAUCACAUAAGAAACAUCAACAUGUUUAAAGUCUUGUCCUCUGAUACCGUGUGGCGCCUGAUGGUAGUUAUGGAAGCUUCUUAAAUAGUCAAAUGGAGAUGGAGUUUGACUUGGCUUCCUCGUCUCGACAAGCCUUGCAAUUUCUUGUCAUCGACGCAAAAGGAGUGGUUACCAUCCAAGAUUUGCGUGUAAACUUGUGUCGGCCAUACCAUAACAAAGGCAAAAGCAUAAAAUUUUUUUUUUUCACUUAGGGAUAUCUCAAUAUUUUUGCCAGACUAAUCUCCUAAUACUGUAUAGAGCCUCAUCCCAAGCAUACACAGUAAAAUAGCAUAUUGGGAUCAAUCAUAAGAUCUACUAAUAAUUGUCAAGUUACGGAAUCAAUUAGACUACUAGCAAGAUAAAGUAAAAGCAUAAUUACAAACGGCAAUUUAGACCCAAAAAAAAAUCAACUUUCUAUACCAUACAUGUGAUUUUGUGUAGCUCGAUUGGCAGUGAAAUUCUUGGAAAAGUUAAGACCAUCAAAUACUUUAUACACCUAAACUCCAUUUAUUAAAUUGUUUAAAUACUAGAGUUUGUCUAACAACUGGGCAUUCCAGUUUUGAGUAUUUAUUUUUUACAAUAUGAAAUUAAUUUGAGAAAAUAUCUAAAUGUAAAGUGCAUCACAUAAUAUAUAUAGGUACAAUUUAAGGGAAGUUAAUUCGAUAUGAGAUAUAAUACCAUUUUAGAAGGUUUAGGAUCAAUAAAGAAAAUGACAAAAUCUAUGUGGUCAAGCCCGAUCCGAUCUAACAACAGAACAAGUUUAUAGUUGGCAGUGACUACAGGUACUAUCAAGCCGAGUCGAGCUCGAGUAGCACCAUACUCGAGCUCAAACUCGAUCAAAAUCAGUGCUACUCAAGCUCAAACUCGAACGAAUAAAUAAAUUUGGACUCGAGCUCGACUCGAUAAAAUAAAAUUAAACUCGAACUCGACUCAUUUGAGCUCGAUUAAAUAUCAAAUCCGACCUACUCGAGCUCGAGUUUUGAACUACAUCUAUAAGUUUUUUCUCAAAAUAUAUAAAAUAGAAAUAUAAUAUGAAUAUAUAAUAUAAAUAUAAUAUGAAAACUCGAUUCAACUCGUCGAGCACUCGAGUAUUUAUUUUUGGAGCUCGAACUCAACUCGUUGAAUGUAACGAGUAGCUCGAGCUCGAUUUUGACCGAGCUCGAGCCAAGCUUUUGACCAAGCGCUCGCAAGCUACUCGCGAGCGGCUUGACUAGAUUGCACCCCUAUUAGGGACCAAGUGAUGGUCACACAAGCAGUGACGGAGCCAAAAUUUUGUUCUUGGGGGCAAAAUUUUUCCUAACAAAAUUAUCUUAAUAUAUUAUGUUUAAAAUAAUUUUCAUCUAUGUAAAUAUAUGAUAUCUAAAACAUCAAAUUUUAAUUUUAAUUAUAAAGGUAUGUAUAUUUCAUAAAUAUGUAGCGUAGCAUAAUAGAAAUUAAGACAAGAAAUAAUUUUUGAUUAAAUAUCUUUUAACAUCACAAACUAUUCAAGUUGCACAUUAUGAGAAGAUACUCCAAUAUGUCAUCUAUAAAAAAAAAUAACUAUACAAUAUAAAUAUAACUAUUUUUAAUUAAAAAAAGAUAAAAAUUAUGUUAACAUACUUUGAAAUUUCAAUCUCUUUUAUUAAAAGUAAAUUGAGUUUUAUGUUCUUUCAUAGAAAUAAAUUCAUUCUAUGAUUGAAUCAGUGUUAAAGUUUUCAGCAACUUCCUUUCGUACCCAUACCUGCAUCCUCGUGACCAAAUAUUAUGGAAAACAUAGGUGCCUGGCCCUGCAAAUUGACAACAGCAAAUCCUGUUAAAACCGUGAAACUAUGAUUACCACAGGUUCAUAACGCUAAGGUAUAAGAUGUACUACAUUUAUUUCAUUUUCAUAUAUGAGUAUAACCUUUGGCUGUUUGGCACCCCAAGAGUAAACAUCAGUGUAUCUGUGCGUGGCAAAGGGAGGUGAAGAGGAUCUUCAGGCAAACUUCCAUUGCUAGGGUGUUGCUACCUCCAUUUCUUCAAUCACCAGUGGCAUUCCUGGUUCCCAUGCCACAGCAGCUGCAAUAUAUAUUGCACGACAGAGGAAUUACAUUAAGCAGAAGAGUACAUUGUAUGCGGUCUAGGAGUUAAAUUAGACAAAACAAUUUGUCAAAGCCAGUGAUUAGAUCAAAACCGAACUUCUAAAUGGGUAAUUCUGAAAUUGUUCCUGAUUUUUGAGCCCGUUAAAGUCAUCAAGAGCGGAUAUGGACACAAUUUACAGUGCAAGACAAUCAGUAAAUGCAAGGCCCGAAACUCGCUGGACAGUUUGAUUGACUUAGGAAAGCUUCCUACCAUCUUGAUUUCCGAAUCAGAGACGGAAUUCUUUGGCUUUUUAGUUUCAAAUACAACAUAACUAUGAAUGUACAUAAAAUAGUUGUGGAAGUACAAUUGCACCGUAUAACUUGACCUUCAAUGCUUGACAUCUUGAAUCUUCUGAGAACUUGGCUUUUGUUGAAAAUGAUUGUUAGGCACUAGGCAGGCAGUUUUGUUGUGAAGGGCGGAGAUGUUCAACGCUGAUAUUUAGAGUAGAAAUUCCAUCCAAGAAUCCUCAUUUAAAAUAUCAGUGUUUCUAUUAGUGAUCAACUUGUGAUUUCAGCUACACAUCAACUCAAGGGAAAAUUACAAAAAUUGUAUCUUACCUUCCAAAAACUGGGUUUUUAAAUGAAAAAUAAUUACAAAAUUAUUAUAAUUAUAAUUAUUAUAACUAUGCCUUACCUUUUCUAUUUUCACAUUCAAUGGAGUAAAAUGAUCACUUACAUAUAAAAAGUGUAUCAAUUUAAUCCCAAAACUUAUAAUUGUCGUGUACAUGUGCGUCUAAUAACACAAAUGCCACAAGCUGUAGUUACUAGUUAGCUUUUCUUUUUAGUUCAUACAGAAGCGAGCAGUCCCAUUCUAGAGACGAUUUCCUGUAGUAGUUUUAGCAGGAAUUGAUUGUAAAACAACGGUAUAAUUAGGAAUGGCAAUCUGGACAGCCAAUGGGCACUCUCCCCACUAAAGGCUAAAUGGGGCUGGGGGAGGAGGGGGAUGGGGGCAGAAAUCCCCUUCCCUGCCCAAUUUUAUAAGGGAUGGAGAGUAAGGGAGCUAGGCUACCUCCGCUCCAUCCUGCAAAGUAUGUAGUAUAUGUUUUAUAUACAUUAAUUUGAUGUAUAUUAUUUCUAUGCUAAUACUCAUGUUACAUGUAUACAUAAACGUAAAUAAGUAAAAUGGAUUCUUGUUUUCUUUGUUAUACAUACAUAUAAAGCGUCUGUUAUAUAUUUCAUUAAUUUACUUGUUUGUUUGGUAGUUUAAAAUCUCAACAUAGUUUUCUUGUAUUCUUGUGUUACACUUUGUAAUAUUUCAUUUCUUUGUUUACAAAGAAAAAAUAUAUAUAUACUUCCAAUAGAUGAAUUUCAAAUCAGGGGCUGUUCAGUGCAAGGACUUGUGGGGCGUUACUCAAUUCAAGAAAAGAAAUAGGCUAUGAGAGCUACAAAGCAACAAAAAGAAGGAAUAAACAUUGAUGGAAGAUGAUAUGAAUCUUCUGCCCAUUCUAAUAAAUAUGCAACUCCGCCAUCAUUCUGAUAUGGACUUAUGGAGUUGCAUAUUUCUACCAUCAAUCUAUAGAAGAGUGUAACACGGUGGCUGUCCAAUCUAUAAAAGUGGAGAGGGUUCUCAAUUGAAGGAUUUUAAAGAUGAAUCUAAUUCAUUUAAAUCUGAUUUUGAUGAUCGAGCAUUAAUAUCUAGUAUAUCUUUAUUAUCUAAGUUUGAUCACUCAUUAAUUGCUGAUUGUCAUGUAAAUUUUGGAGCUUAUAAUUCACUAAGAAUGGAGAAAAAAUGGACUGUUCAUUUGUGGAUAGUGCUAAUCAAGAGCAUAUUGCGUUGAAUAAAAUUGGUAAAUUUGUUAUUGGUUAAUUAGCCGGUAAUAAGGUAACUUUCUUACCUAAAGUUCUUAGUUAUCAAGGUGACAUUAAAGACUUUAGUUUGCUUGUGAUGGUAUGGUUUCUUUCUAAUGUGUCUUUGCAAGCAUUUAAUCCUUACCUUGGUGAAUUGUAUGACUGUUCUUCAUGCAUAUUAAGAGCUAUGUUUCUUAAUUCAUUGACACGUGAUAAAAUGUUUGACUUAAUUGGAAUUGUUUUUAAGGUAGUCUACUAUCAUAAUCAGCUUGAGUUAAUAAAGUUUGAUAGAGCUGCUUAUUUACAUUUUGUUGGACAUGUUCAAGUCAAUUUGCGUCAUCUUGUGAGUUGUCUUUGUCCUAAUUGUAGGAGUCUAGUUUCGAGUCCUUAUGCGUUGUUUGUGAUCAUCUUAUGGGUUUCCUAAAGUCGUGUGAUCAUUACGUGUGCUCUUGUAUUGUCCCUAUUCACUUGAGUUGGAUUGUGUUUCUAGUUGUUUAUUUGCAUGCGGUUCGCUGUCCUAGCAUACAUGUCGUCCAUGCAAAUUUUGUAGUGUAUCAUCUUGAUGCUUGCGCUAACUUGAGUGUACUUUCAGGUCAUGUUAAAGCAAUUUGGAUGGUGCAUGGCAUCCAAAUAUUUCUUUCUUUUUUUUUCUUUCUUUUUUUUUUAGGUAUAAUCCACAGGGGUCCGCAUCCGUUUUACGGUCUGCGACUAAUCCUGUUCGAGCCGGAUCCAGCUCCUUGCAGGAAGAAAUUCUCCCAACAUUGUUUUUUCCAUUCCCAUGGGUUUCGAACCCGAGAUCUCAUGGUUAAGGGAUGCAAGCCCCUUCCACUUGCACAAACAUCCGUUGGUUCCAAAUAUUUCUUUCUUGUUAUCAACUUAGUGAGUUCGGUGUUUAUGAGUAUUCCAUCAUCAUUCAUUCCUCGUCUUUUGUGUUUGACCCAGACAUCGAUUCAAGAUCAUGGUUAAUGCAGCGUGAGCUGGAAUGUAGGGAAAUUGGUUCGAAUUCGGGGCCAUGAUUCUUAAAAACAGAAAUUCUGAUUUUGAAUUCACAAAUUAAAAUCGGAAUUCGGUUACCUAAUUCGAUUACAAUUUCGUAUAUAUAAUAAUAUAUAAUACAUGUAAGUCAUUAUAUUAUAUUAAAAAUAGUAGUAUAACACCUCAAACUAACUAAUCUAGAUCGUUAUAGUAAAUGCAAGUCAUUAUAUUAUAUAUAAUAAUAAUAGGAUAAUACCUCUAACUAACUAAUCUAGGUUAUUUUUUAAAAAUAAAUUCCAAACCAGUUUUUUUAAUAUAAAUUUGGUGAAUUCAGUCGAAGGCAAAAUUCUAAAUUGAAUUCGAAGCAAAAUUGUAUUCGGAAGUUUUGAAUUUGAAAUCAAAAGAGGUCGAAAUUUACCAGGUUCAAUUUACCGAAUUUUUUUGAAUUCAACUUCCGAAUUACCGAUUUCGAAUUCGAUUCACAUCCUUACUAUAACAUGUACAUUGAAUCGUGUUCAUGCUAAAGUUGUGUGGGCGACAUGCCAUGUGGAUCAUUUUAAGUUUGAAAUGCCAUGUGCAUCCAAAUGUGUAUUGUGAAAAACGCUGAAGUUGGGGGGCAGAAUAUGCAAUUUAAGGAAAAAAAAAUGUCCUAGUUUCCAUGGAACCUCUGAAGAGUUUUGGCAAGUUCCCUUUUUUGUCUCAAGUGCCAUUCGGCUUUAUCUAUACUUGCUGUUAUCUUUCGAUGACUAACUAAAAUUUAGAAAAAGGAAAUGUUGAAUGCCUAGUUAAGUCCCUAUUACCAUAACUGUAACUUGCUAAAAAUUGAUUCACUUUCUAAAAAUUUCCUUUUUCUUUUCUUCCUAUAUAUUACAUUUAGCAUUUCUUCGUUUUUGCUCGUUGAGAUUAAUUUGUAAGAUAGCCCCAUAGCAAGAGAGAGUCAUGUCUACGUCCAACUUGUCAAAAUUCAAGUGCUGGAAUUUUUCCAAGAAGAAGACGAAUUCUGGCUCCAAGAAAGAAGCAAACCAAUCGUCACAUUCACCUGGUAAAUCCAAGAUGGAGGUACAAAUUUAGAUGUUCAGGACCCAUCAGAGGAUUGUGGCAGAUUCGGAUCAGAAAUUGAAGGAUUUGAAUGAGAAAUUCAAUGGUAUGAACAAGAAAGUGGAUGAAGUGCUAUAUCUGGUUGAGAAGGUUCACUCAAGAUCAAGAACGGCUGCUUUGAAGGAUGUAAUUCAACCACGCUGAUCUUAUUCAUAUAUUCUUAGUUUUUUUAUUGGGAAAAUGAUCGGUUUCAUCCUUCACAUUUCACAAAAAUAUUCUUUUCGUCCCUUACUUUUAAAAUGAACCAAUUUCGUCCUUGACAUUUAAAAACUAAAAUUAUUACAUCCCUGAACCCAAAUUUCAAUCUAAAUCAAACCACCAAUCAAUCUGAUUACAAAUUUCGGGGGUGUAAUUGGUAGAUCACUUGGUUAACUCAACUUGAUAUUCAUGUGAAAUUUAAUUAACCUAAAAAUAAAAAAUAAAAAAUUAUAACAUAAAAAAGAAAGAUUAAUCUUUUCUACAUUAUCAUUGUAUACACUGACGGUUUUAUGUACCGCCAUAUCAUUUUAAUUUAAAUUUAAACAUCAAAUUUUAUAUGUAUGAUACACAUCUAGAUUCGCAAGCAGGCAUACUAACGGUGCAUGAAAAGUUUAUCAAAAAAAAAAACUCUACUAUUCCAAGAUAAAGAAUAACCUUUUAUGUUAUAAUUUUAAUUUUUUUGGUUUAAUAAAUGUCAUGUGAAUAUGAUGAAGUUGACCGAAUGAUCUAUCAAUUCUAUUUUUGAAAUUUAUUACUAGGUUAUUGGGUGGUUUGAUUCAGAUUGCAAAUUAGGUUCAGAGAUGUAAUAGCUUUAAUUUUUAAAUGUCAGGGAUGAAUUUGCUUCAUUUUAAAAGUGAGGGACGAAAAGAAUAUUUUUGCGAAAUGUGAGGGAUGAAACAGGUCAUUUUCCCUUUUUUAUUUUUAGGUAACUAUAAGUAGGCAAUGGGGCAAUUAUGGUGCACGUUAUAUUUGUAUGGGAUAAUUUCAUAAAUUUCCUGUAAGGUUUCUAAUAAUUUCGCUGAGUUUUCUUGAGGUUUUGAAAAUUACACUUGCCUCAUUUGAUUUGAUACUUUUAAUAACCCAAACCUUAGGCUUGGUCAAAACUUUAAAUGAGUAACCUAAAAUACGCUCAAUUUAUAAAGUUUAUAUUACUUUCCAAAAUAAUUGUAAAAUAUAUAGCACAAAUAUAAGGAAGAAGUAUCAAGCUCUAAUACCCAUAUUUAUUAUUUGAUAAGCUAUAAUUACACUAAUUAUUAGCACUAGAAAAAUGAUCAACUAAAACAUUGAAUCACAUUCAAAAUUAUCAAAAAACAAAAGUGACCAGUUCAAUAGUUGGUAACGAUAGCGACAAGGGUCAGUAUUUAUAGUUCUGUGAUUUUACUCGCAAAAUAUAUAUAUAUAAAAAAAAAAAGAGGAAUAAGAAGAGAAAAGGAAAAUAAAAAUUAAUGAUAAAUUCCAUUCUUUGCAUAUCAUAUCCAACAAGGGAUUAUUAUUAAAAUGGUAAGGUUAAUAUUGUCAUUUUAGGUGGGCAAAGGAUGUAAGCGUAAUUUUUGAAAUAUCGAGGGAGCUUAGUGAAAUUGUUAGUAACCUCAGGAGAGGUUUCCAAAAUUAUCCCUAUUUGUAUUGAUGUUCUUACCUAGAAUUUUAAUGCGACACAUUAUUAUUUGAAAACUUUUUUGUAUUAAUUACAAUAGCUUUUUUUUUUUUGGUGAUUCUUUUGAAUUCAGGAAACCACUCCUAGAACUCUUGAUACACGUGAGAUUAAAAAAAUGGUUGGAAAGAUAAAAAGAUCAUUAAAAACAUAUUUGUGAUACAAUAAUUUUUUUUUUUAUUUUUGUGGCCAAUCUAAACGCACUAGUGUUGGUAAUUUACGUGGAUGUUUAGACAUAUAUUAGGAUAAAUUACCUUUUGCCUCCUAUAAUUUGGUACUUUACCACAUAACUCUCUUAUGGUUUAAAAACAUGCAUAUAACCCUUUCAUGGUUUGAAUUAAAGUGUCAUCGAUAAUUUUUCCAUUAAAACUAACAAUCAAUGCAAAAAGUUAAAGUCAAACUAAUAAAUUGAUAAUGAGGCUUAUGUGACAUUGAGGGAGUUAUAUGUAGGUUUUUAAAUUAUAUGAGACUUAUGUGAUGAAGCACUAAAUCCCAAGGAGUAAAGAGUAAUUUAUCCAAUAUAUUAAGAGGUAUAUUACCUACUCAUAUGUAUAGGACAAUUUCAAGACUCCAUAGUAAACUACAUUAAUGACUUGGCAAUCAAUGGAUAGUUGAAUGUAUGUCAAGUAAAAAAGUGAUUGAGAUAUGAGUCAAGAGGAAUAUUCUAAAAAAUUUUCUAUGAAAAUUGACAAUCCAAAACGAGGUUCAAAGAAUCUGCAUUUUUACGAGGUUAAGAUUAUUCAGUUUAUACUGUCUUCACAUAUCAAGUGACCUAAAACUGUCUUGCAUAGAAAUCAUUAGGCUGCAUGCUAAGCUUUCAAGUUUCAACCAAUGCCUUCACAUGUCAAAGUAACCUAAGCUCCCAUUGUGAGAUUAAACUCCACUCUACAACAAUUUUGUUAUUCUAACAUCCAUUACUUUCCAGAAAAAUUACCCAGUAAAAGCUCCAGAAUCAGUGUUUCAGCUGUUGAACAUCUAACAGCGCCAUUGAAAUCCAGAAAACUAACGUUAAAAUGCAUUUGGCUUCUGGACGUAGUAUAGAAAUCACAUGUAUUAAAGAGAUAAUGACUUGAAUUGAUAAUCAUUCCUAACUUGGACUGGAAAAUAUAUCGACACAAGUUUGAAAGGCAGGCUACGGUGAGCCAUGGAGCAUAAUUUUACAGGUUAAAACACCACCUAAACAACAGAACAUCCCAAAACUGCACCGUUCUAUUCGCUAUCGGGUAAUUCUCAUGCAUCGUGUUUCUUCUUCUUCUUCUUUUUCUC
RNAcentral lists this long non-coding RNA (56687 nucleotides) under Coffea arabica (coffee). RNAcentral's name for it is "long non-coding RNA (CARA_LNC005291)". Lineage: Eukaryota; Viridiplantae; Streptophyta; Magnoliopsida; Gentianales; Rubiaceae. The record is from RNAcentral.